This 44956-nucleotide long non-coding RNA is filed under the name Citrus maxima (pomelo). Its description in RNAcentral is "long non-coding RNA (CMAX_LNC003290)". Lineage: Eukaryota; Viridiplantae; Streptophyta; Magnoliopsida; Sapindales; Rutaceae. The record is from RNAcentral.
CUCUUUUUUUUUUUUUUUUUGGUUUGUAUAGAGUUUCUUGGGAACUGCUUUUUUCUUUGUUGCUUGCCUUUUGUUCUUCUCUAUAUAAACUGUAACCCACCAUGGGAGAGGGAAAAAAAUAUUUUGUCUCUGUGUGUGUGUGUGUGUUUUUUUUUUUUUAAUUUCUAGUUAUGUAUGUGUUUGGAAACAAAAGAUUUCUUUUCUAUUCCUGCAGCAACUGAUUCUAAGUUCAAUAUCUAUUUGUAAUUAUUUUUCCAGAUUUAGGAAAAAAGUUCAUACUGGCGGUCUUCUUGCAAUGAUUGCAGCUUUGUCUUUGUAUAUAUCCUUUUAUAGAUAAGAAGAAAAUGGAAAUAAAUAGAGAGAAAAUAUGACCAGCUUUACCAUGCCGAUGAGAAGAAGUGGAGAUGACUCCCUCAGAUUCAACUGUGUUUCAUGUUUUGUGUAGCAGUUGGUUACUGUGCAUACUGGUUAGUUUAAUCAGUCAACAGCUUCUUAACGAUUUAAAAAAUUCAAAAUUUGCAAUUACGUUAUUGCCCUUAACAAUCAAACGACUCUUUAACGCUAAUACACGGCCAUGGGUGCUAUGUGUCAAUAUAUGCAUACAUUCUCUCCAAGUGUAACAAGAGCAAACCUCAAGGGAGGUAUCCAAAAAUUACCCUACCCCUAAUUUACGACAUCUCACUAUACAUUCGGAUUAAAUCACAUAAAUUUUUGUCUUUUUGGAAAUAAAUAUGCAAUUUCAAGAUUUUGAGGGAUAAAUAAUUUUUUUAUUUUUUCAAAUCUAGAUCUAGCGUCUAAGCUCUGAGCCUGUCACUUCCAAUUAUACGUGGAGAAACCAAAUAGCUCAAGUCAACCUAGUUGUCUGUUCUGCUCUUGGUAACCAAUCAGUAAUGAUUCUGUCUAGCGCGUCACGUGGUUAAAGACGUAACGAAUGAAAUUACGGUCUACGGACAGCCUUUUUCUCUCCCCAUUCACACUCUCCUGCUUGCAACUUGCAGCAAUUGUCAAUAAUUGAUGUCACGCAUGUUUUCUUUCUUUCUUUAUUUUAAAUUAUCCACGGUCAACUUAUUUAUUUUAUUUAAAAAAAUAUAUACAAUUUUUUUUUCAGCACGUCACCUUAAAUUUAUUUUUUAUUGUACUCAUCCACUUCCAUUUGAUCUUCGUUAAUAAAUUUAACAAAAUAUUAAUAAAAUGAUAUUUUACCCCUUAAAAUUAUAAUUUAACUCAAAAUAAAUAAAAAUUAGAGAUAAAUUGACUGAAUUUAAAUUUUUUCAAGCAAUAAAGUUAAACGUAAAGGCAUAUGCUAGAAAUUAGAAAAAAGUAGUGUUUGUUGCUUGUUAAAUUUAAAAAAUUUGUAUUAAUUUUUUUAGAGAAAAAUAGUAUUUGUUACUUGCUAGAUUUAGAAAAUUUGUAUUUAUUUUUUCUCUUUCAAUUGAGUUAAACAACAUCAAUUUUUUUUCUUUUUCUUUUUAAUUUUCAAAUCACGUUAAAUGACAUCGUUUUACUCUUUCUUUUAAAAAAAUAAUAUAGCAUAAUUUUAGGUAUUAGAAUGAAAUAUUCAUUUUAUUCCUCUGACGUCAGUAACUUUCUAACAACAGUUAGACGGAAGUGGGCAAAUGCAAUAAAAAAUAAAUUUUAAGUGGCACGCAAAAAAAAAAUGUUUGUUUAUUUUUAAAAAAAAUAAAAUAAAUAUGUGGACAGUGAAUAAUUUCUCUUAUUUUUUUAACGUAGAUCACAACAAAAUUUUAUUUUCUUUGAUAACAUAAGGUGCGUGGUAAAUUUUCUUUGAUAACAUAAGGCGGCGCAGACUCAGUAAUGCUCACCCACUCUCCUUUACUUAAGAGCAAGAACAUCAGCAGCUUCGACAACCCAUUUAGAACAAGUACUCUCCAAUCGAUACACAAUUCUCACAAUCUUACAGUCAUUAGUAUUGGCCUAUCGGGGACAUACCCAAAUCCGAAAAUGGAAACAAUAACUUCCCGUUGAGAAAAUUGAAUAGAUAAUAAUUGAUCAACUAAUAUAUAUUCUAAGGUAAUUUAAAAACAAAAAGAAUAUAUGUAUAUAUAUGUUCACAAAAAAUUAAUGUAUAUUCUUUUUUGUUUAUAUUUUAUUUUUUGGGGUUAUAUUGGUGAUUUAAUUUUUUAUUAAUGUAAAAAGAAGAAACAUUAUUGCAAGAGGAGAACGUUGAAAAAGUAAGUAAAAAGAACAAAAAAUAACGACAAGGGUGUUAAUAUUUUAACGGUAUGAAUUUUUUGGGUAUUUUAAAAAAUAUAAAGACUAAAUAGACACUAACAUCAAAAUAUAAGAACUAAACGAAUUUUUACCCGUAAUUAAUUUAUUAAAUGAAUCACUAGAUUAAUUUUUAGUUUGAUGAAGAUCAUAAUAUAGAAACUAAAAAAAUUAAAUAGACAAAAAGAUAAAAUCAAUAAAAGUAAGCGGGCCAAUGUCGAGGAUCAUAAUGAAUAAAUCAUCAAAAUUAAAUGGGUUAUAGUGGGGCAUAAAUUUGUAAAAUUUCAGUUAAUUCCUUGGAGCAAAUAGAAAUGCAUUUUCAAGAUGCGAGGGGAUGACGAGGAGGUGAGAUUGGAAUUGGGAGAUCAUGAGCGUCACGUGUGCAUAGACAGAAGCGAGUGGGUGGCAUUCUUGAUUGCUAAACCAUAGAAAAUUCAUAUAGUAGAAAUAGGCAAUUAGGAGUAAUUUACUUCUUAAACUUGUCAUCACUAGAAACUUAUUCACAUAUACUGCAAAGCCCAAAUGGAUUUCAUUGUAAAAUAUUCUUCUAUAGAUCAUUGCUGCCAUGGUAUAGUCAUACAAACAGAGAGAGGGGGUAAAAAAAAAAAAGACAACUAAAACUUGCUUAUGAUGAUAUAGAAGUAUAAAACUGAUAUUAAGUUGUCCAUCACUGGCUCUCAAAAAAGGGAAAAAAGAAGAAAAAGAAAAAAACAUGUCCAUCACUUUCAUUUUGCUUGGAUCAAUAAACAGAACAAAAGCUACACCUUCACUUCCAGUCACUUCUCUAUAAGUUUCUUUGUAAACUUUUUCAGUCCAAAGGUUAUCUGUUCAAAUAUGGCUUGAUUGCCACAACAGAUUUCAGAGUAGCCCUCUUCUUCUCUUAUAAUCACCAACUGUCAAGGUCAAAGCAUGCCUCCUCCCAUCAUUCUCCGGGACUUGGCAUCCAACGGUUGCUUCUAUCCUCUGCUUCCUUGCCAUGAACCCUGCCAGCACCCCCUGAGGUCCACCAAACUUCUUAAGUGCAUUCAAGGAAAUAUCAAGCUCAAAAUCAUGCAACAUAUUUGAUUCUGUUCCUAGAUCAAGAGGAGCAUUUGUGUCAACCAACUUCCCUGCACCAGCUGCAGCUUCCAAGGCCGCCUCUGUGGCUGCCAUGCCAACCUCUCCUGUAGCACCCUCCUCCCCAUUUGCACCUCCUGGUACACCAUUCUUAUCACCAUUUGCCUCAGCAGUCACCUCUUCACCAGGCUUAGAGAUAUAGUAAUUCCUUGACCUAGUCCACCUCCUUGAAAAUGGAUCAUAUCCAGCCUCCCCUGCUUUCAAGCUUGUAUUUACUCGUUUCAGUUCUGAGGCAUUUUUGAAGUUCUCAACUCUGUUCUUUCUGUUCAUCUCAGCAAGUCUAAUAGCUUUGGCAUCUUUUACCUUUGAAUCCCGGGAUGCCUCGAGUUCCUGCAGUCUUUUCUUGAUCCUCUCCAUAUCUACUUCAUCAUGCCUACUUUGUGCAACUUCCAACUCCCUCCUCAGCCGGUCCUUCUCAGCAGCGACAUUUAACGGCCUUGAUGAGGCAGAUUUUUUUUCUUGCAACAUCUGCUUUACAGUGGCUGCCGAAUAGACAAAAGUGUUGAUUUUUUGUAUCGAAUCCUUUUUCUCCAACACAUCCUGUUUGCUUGGCAUCCGGCCACUAUUUCGCUCCACCUCUCUAAGCCAUUGCUUAAACUCCUCCUCAAGUGGUGGGGAGUCUGAAACCAUAGCCAUCUGCCACCUGGCAGCUGAGCUUUCAUUGCCCCAAGUGACAUUCAGAUACUUACAUGUUGUCCUGUUCUCUAGUUUGUAUGACCGGUCUGGCUCUGUGGCAUCAACAUUUCGGACCAUGCAAAGCCUGUAGAUAGGGCCAUUCUUUGACCUCCCAAUUCCAACCCUCACAAAGCAACCCACAAUCAACUCUUCAAAGAAUGGCUCCAUGAACCAUUUAGCAAGUUUUGACCUCCUGAUGGUAAUUUCCUUUAUGUCAUCAUAUGUUGGUCUGCCUGAGCCAGGUGCCCCGUCAUCGUCACUGUCAGCCAUCCCACCAUCCCCAGUUGACCCUUCAUCGUCACUAUGAGACCUACUUUCACUCUCACUCUGACUGGAGCUACUCAGACCUGCAGGAGUAAAUGCUUUUCGCUUGACUGGUGAAAGAACCCUGCUGCCAGAACCACCUCUAGAUGCAUCCCUCAAUCUACGGUGAGCCUCCGGGUCCUGCUGUUUCAACCGUUUUGCUCUUAGCUCAUUCAAUGCAUCAUCCUUGGCAGCUGCCCUGUCAGCAGAUCUAGCUGCAAGACGUGCACUACGAGAUGAUGGAAGAGGUGGAGUCUCUUUUGUAGAUCGGGUGGACCUCUCCUCCCGCCUUGAUCUAAACUUGUCCCUUAAGUUCUUAUCAACUUUCUUAUCAUCUCGUUCGAAUAUCAUCAUCUCUCUUUCAAGUUCAGUCAUCUGUCCAUGGUUGUCAUCAUCAGACUCAUUGCUGCUAUCACCUUCAUGUUCUGAAGCACCACCAUCAUAAUCACCUUCUUCCUGGCUACCCUGGUCAUCAUCUCUUUCAGUAGGAUCCAGCCUCUUCUUCAAAGGAACUUGAGAUCCAGAGGGUUUCCUGCUACCAUACCCACGAUUAUCAUCAGAAUCAUCAUCCCUUGAGUCACUUCCAGAGUAGGAACCCUCACGUCGCCUUUUAGAGGAAGAUGCAGAGUGCCGGUUUCUUCCAGCGGAAUUGGUUCUUCCGGCUGCCUCCAGGAGCAGAUUUUCUAAGUCUGCCAUAGUCCACUUGUGCGGCCUUUGUGCUGUGAUAAUAUGUACUCUAUCCUGAGUAAAAAUAACAAUUAAUCAACAGCUUCAAUGGCCAAUCCCAAAUCAAAGAUGAAUAUGCACUUGAGAUCAUCAAAUGAAACAAAAAAACCACAAAGGAGGGGAAAAAAAUUAAGCUUUCACGAACAUUAUAUAUUUUAAAAUUCAAUCUAUUUGUAUUUUAGAAAAUGAAAAUCUAGGUGCAUAGACGCCAUGCCACUCCCUAUACUUCUCAACCUACAUAUUCAUUGUAGAAUCCCAAUAUAAAGUACAUAAAAGAGAUAUGAUGCAAGAUCAGCAAGCUAAUAAAUCAGCUAGGAUCCCCAGAGAAAAGCGGCUACAGAGAUGAGAAAGAGGCGAGGAGAAGGGAAGACGCAAAAGCCAAACGAAGUAUAUUCCCAUCAAAAACCAAAGUUGGAGGUAUAUAUCCCAAUAUGGAAAUCAUCAAAGCCAUCAUUAAUGCCCAAGUGGCGGUUCCCAAGUCCAAUAACAACUUCCUAGAAUGUCCGAUUAUCGGACACACAUUUGUUGAAGCUGCCUCCUUAAGGCAGUCAUCUACUACUGACAAAACACCACAUUAAUUCAACCAAGAGAUUAAACACAAAACGACAUGAUGAAUCCACGCGUUUACAUCUCAUACAAUUCCUAAGUUCUAAAAAGAUAAUAUCCAACCAAUUAAAGCCGAAAACAAACUUUAUAAUCGCAUAAAACUGUACACAUUAAAAGAGAUGCCAAAUGCGUACUAGAAUUAGGCCUAAUGUGGGAAAUAAAUAAAAAUUCACCAUUUAUUCCUCUAUGAUUCCAGUAUCCAGACCUCUGGGGUUAAAAAUAUGAAUUAAAGAUUAAAUCUUCAGCUGGAUAAAUCAAUGAUCAACUUAUCAGUUUCUUAUAUUAUCAUUCACUAUCAUGAAUAACAUAACAAUUUCAUUGAGAUUAAAACCUAAUUAAAACCUUAAUAAAAAUUAGAUUUUUUUUUACCAAAAAUUAAAAAUCUAAUUAACAGCGAACUAAGCUUGAACAAAAUUUCUAGUAAUUUAGGUUAUGAUAACUGAUAAAAAUGUAUGAACAUUUGCAAGACUUGAAACAAUCAUUAAAAAAAAUAAUUAAAAAUUGUUGGGUAACUAAGAUGAAAGAAGAUAAAUUCACCUUGAAACCCUAGAUCAAUUGAAUAGACAAUCCAUCGAUCUCAAAUCGUGAAGCUUAACAAGGAUGGAGCCUCAGAGAGCAAGGUGCUAAAUGGUGGUUCAGUGGCUGGGGGACGCCGUGAGCAAAGAGAGAGCGAGAGCAGCAACGGGAUUUUUCUAUUUUUUUAAUUGAGAAUGCAUGCAACCGGAAUUAUUUGAAAUUUGGAUUUAGCUUUAGUUAAAAUUUUCCUUUCAUAUAUAUAUAUAUCUUGUUUUGAAAAUCAAUAUAAAAAAAUUCUUAAGAUAGUGACACGGGUGGUGUUCGGGGCCCAAGAACAACCCCAGAUCUGGGCUUUGAUUCUGACCCUAGACCCGGUCUAAACAAAUUUCAAAUUUUGGGCCCAUGCUCAACUAGAUUGGGCCAGAAAUCGAUGGGGAUUUGCCUACCCUCGAGAUUUAGGCCAGCCUGAGCGUACAUGUCCAUCUCUGUUCAAAUCCCUACUCAAACCUAUUUUUUAACCGAGUUCACAUUAACUACUAGUAUUUCGGUAACACGAAGCAAUACAUAUAAGUUAGAUUUUGUGUACUAUUUUACUCUUAAGAUAGAAAAUUAGGAAAAUGUUGUGUCAAUAGUAACAAGAUAGUAAGAAGAUAGAAACAACAGUAUUAUAGUAUGAACAGUGGUAGUAUGGACAGUACCCAUAGGGUGCGUUUGACACACUGUAUUGUAUUAUGCUGUAUUGUAUUAUUUUAAUGCUGGUGUAUUGUAUUAUGUUGUAUUGCAUUAGCACUGUAUUAUAAUAAUAUUAUACAAUGUUUGGUACUACACUGUACUGUAUUAAUUUUUUUGUGAUUAAAUUAAAUUAUAUAUUUAGAAAAUAAAAUUUAUUAGUACCUAGAAAAAUAUAAAAUAUAGAAGUCUUAAAUUUUAGAAAUUUAACAUUAUUUUUAGUAUAAAUAUUAAAAAAAUAUAGAAGUCUUAAAUUUUAGAAAUUUAACAUUAUUUUUAGUAUAAAUAUUAAAAAAAUAUUUUUUUCAUAAAGAUUGAAGCUUAUAGCCUUAUAAUCGACAACAUAACAUUUAUUUUAAAUUAAUAUUAUUUAAAUAUUUUAUAAAUGUUUUUAUUAGUUAUAUUAAAUUUUUCUAUAUUAAUUAUUAUAUAAUUAAAUAAUACAUUAUUUAGUAAUAUUUUUAAAAUAAUAAAAAUUAAAAUAUGAAUAAUAAAUUAUUAAUUUAUAUUAAUAAUUAUGAUAUAAAAAUAAAAGAAAAUAAAAAUUUAUAUUAUAUUAUAUUAAAAAGUUAUAUUAUUUAUUAUUAUUAAAAAAAAAAAAAAAAAGUAAAAAAAAAAAAAGAAGAAGCAACAAAUGCAAAAGCACAAAAGCUCAUGCGGCACCUAGUCGGGUUUAGCUAAUGCAGCAGUUUGCCACAUUAACAUACCCCUUAAUUCCUUUUAAAAUUUUACCAAACAUGAUAUUGGUAUUAAACUAAUGUGAACAGUAUUUUAAUACACUAUAAUUUCAUGCACCAAACACAGUCAUAUUUCAGUCUUCUUACUGUUUAAAUAGCAGUGCUCAAUUAUAAAUGAAAGUUGUGAUGUUAUUAAUUAUCAUCAUCAUCAUCAUCAUCAAUUCACCGUAAUCUAUUCAAAUUUAUUGUAAAACACAAGUAUUAUCUUUGUUUUUGUCCAUAUAGGAACACAAUAGCUAGAGGUGAUAAUCCCGCUGAAGAUUUGAUCUGAAAUAAAUUGGUCGAAUUUUUAUCACCUUGUCAAUUAGGGUGACUACGAGUUUGAGUAAGGGCGGAAGGUUACAUACUUACAUUUACCAGUGCAAAUUUUUAUUAUAUGUCAACUUGCUAGAAAACCCUCAAAAGAUCGAGCUCAGAACAAAGGAAUUUUACUUUUCUCAAUUUAAAUAGCGCUAGCACGAUGCAGCGGCUACGUGUAUUUUGAUUGAGUUAUUAAUUGUUGGAAAAAUAGCGCUCAAGUGGCUAUUUUGAGCGGAAUCCAUUAGGUGUCAGUAAAAGAGGUCAAGGUGAUUCCGAUACUCUUCCGUGAGUAUUUCAAAAUGAUAUAUUUGUAUGUUCAAAAUGAUGAUCCAGUGAAUGAGAAAUUAUUACUUAAAAUAUACUCAUAAAAUUGAAAAAAAAAAAAAAGUAUUUGUCCCACUCGGGAAAGAGUAGUAAGGUUUGAAAGAUUAUAUAUAUAUUCAGAGCAUAAGCACAGAGGCUAUCUCCUUUUUAGCUUGACUCAUGUGGGUGUUAUUUCCCAUUAUUUCUUGGGAAAUAAUCGUUGUUCAAAGUCUUUGUUCCUAAUCAGACAUUGUUUGUUAUUUACAAUUAUAUUGUACUAAUGAAGUUGCAUGUUUGUUUCUAACGUUAAUAUCUUAUUGAUAUAAGAUUAAAAAAAGAAGAAGAUAAAAUAAGAGAAAGUAAGGUAGGCAAAAAAAAAUUCUUGGAACUGACUCAAUCAAAAUAAAAAUCCUUUAAUUCUCGCGUGAGAAUUAAAGGGAUCAUACUCAUGCAGUAUCUUAAUUAAAUUCUAUGUAAUGAUGAAUAAAUUAUGCUGUAUUUUACUCCUACAUGUGUCAAAAUUUUAAGACUAAAGCCAUAAUCUAAUUUUAGGACUUGCCCAGGAAUUUAGUCAUGGAGGGAAGGCAAAGAAAGCAGACCUUUCCAAGAAAGGUUUAUGCAACUAAGUUUUAGCUCAAACCUCAGCGACAUAAAAAGAAAGAACAGGUGAUCGAGGAUAAUAUAGCACAAUAAAGAGAAUGUAGAUUGUUUAAAAGACUGCAGAAGGCAUCAAACAAGCUAGAUACAUCUUCCAAAUUAAGUCGAACACAAAUCUAUUUCAGGAUCAUAAUUAUACAGUAUAUACAGACAAAACAAAGAAGAAAAUAAUAGAUUAUUCUACCUUUCUCAUUCAUCAACCAAAUGUUACAUCCAUUCUCAUCAUUCUGUGCUUGCACUUAGCUCAUCACCGAAUUCUCCAGCCACAAACCUGAUACAAAAAGAUUCAAUCUUUUAGAGAUAUGACAUACAAUCAGAUUAACAGAAGCACCUCUACAGAUAAUUGUCUCACUUAGUGCCAAUGCUAUUGCCAAAAUAUAUUUCGAAAAUUAGAGAAACAUAAAUGAGAUCAAGUUGUCUCGCCUGGUCUUCUUAUUCUUCCAAGAUUUCUUUGCCCUUAUCAGUUAUCUUGUAUGAGCUUGAUUCAGUUUCAAGUUCUUGUCCAGUAGUAGUUUCAUCAGAAGAAGUAGACAUUGUCGAAACCCCAUCAAUUUUCUUACAUAUAACAAGACACUCCAUGUAAGCAUCCCCAUAGUAGCACCAUGGCUCACCGCGAACUGUUAGUCUCCUGGCUGUUCGAUACCUGGGAUGAAAUGAAAGCAAUGCCCAAUUGUAUACUGUCCCGACUAGAAGUUCCCCCUUUCUCCAAUUUCCUAGUAUCUUGCCUACACCUGAAUGUAUUGUAACAUUAUACAGCUUUGUCCAAGACUCAAUUGAACCAUACUCAUUCAUCAACCAAAUGCUACAACUAAGAAAAGCCUCAUCUCUAGCAUGUGAAUGAUAAUGCAGCAAAGCAAGCGAUUGUUUGAUUGCCGCAACAGAGAUCUUUUGCACUUCCCUUUCUCCGAAUUUAACUGUAUCGCUCAUCAUACCGUUCGGCAAAUUAAAUUCCUUAAAUACCUCACCAUACAUAUCAAACACGGCCACAACCAAUUGAGAAACUGAUCUCUCAUCACUCCCUUCAUAAUAUCCAAUCCAAUGCACAGCUCCGUUCACAGAGGCAUGCACUGAAUUUCUUUUAAUCAAAUAAGGCGGUGCAGCCUCAGUGAUGUUCUCCCACUCUCCUGUACUUAGAGUUAAAACAUCAAUAAUUUCUACAACCCUUUUAGAAACUACACAAGAAGUCUCCAAAUGAUACACAAUUCUCACAACCUUAUAGUCAUUAGUUUUGGGGACAUACCCGAAUCCGAAAAUGGAAACAAGAAUUUUCCCUUGAGAAAAUUGAAUAGAAGGGCCAUAUUGCCCGUACCCAAAAGAUUGUUGGUCAAUUUUGGCCACAGGGGAAUGAAUUGGAAACGUUUUAAAAGAAUAACCAACAGAAGGGUUCCAAAUAAGUAAAGAUUGCGGCAGCCUUUCAGCUUUAGAAAUCUCAAGCAAACACACUAACCCACAACAAAAACCAAUAAUCAUGUAUCUGGAGAGUCCAUGAUCAAAUGGCAAUUCUAAUUCCUCAUGAUAAUGGUCACUAAUCGAGUAAUCGCCAUGGUGUAAUGUGAAAAUUUCUCUCUGUUCAUCCAUGUCGUAGUAGCUUACAAGGAACCUAGUGACAUUGUUUGUGUUCUUGAAAGAGAGCUUGUUGUAUUCAAACAUAAAAUUGGGGUUGGUGAUUACAGAGCACCAUGAUUUACAUACGCACCUGCAAUCUAAAACUGUUUUUGCUGGCAGCCUGAAGAAGAUUUCAGCCAGUACUUGGUCAGGUAAGUAAUCUGACAUUUUCUUCUUCUUCUCCUGGCUCUCUUGCUUCUGCUUUUGCCUUUCUUUUUUUCUUUUUCGCUUCUGCUUGUGCUUCUUGCUGUUCGCUUUAUGAAACGCAUUGCACACAAUCUUGUAACUUCAAACUUGACAAUCAUAUGCCAAGUAAGCAAGUGGCUUUAGUCUUCGUCUAUCAAUCGGUUGUCAGCUCAGCUAUUAGUAAUGGGACUCUGACGCCUCACGUGGAUAAUUCACGAAUUUACGGACAACUUAUUAACGUUAUGGAAUAAUGUAACGGGCCUCUGUUGCCGUGAGUCGUUCCGAAGUAACUACCGUUACAUUACUGUAACGGUGAGGUCCACCACUUCUCCUACUACCAGGCUACCGGCCGACCACUACUACAAACAGGACAAAGCGUGCAUCCAAAUCCAAAGCACAUAUUUGUUGCGCCUUACAGUAACGCACAAAUAGAGGCUUUUAAAAUGUCUUUAAUUUAUUCAAUUAUUCCCUUUCAUUUCAAUGCAUUAUCUUUUCUUUUUUUUUUCGAUGUGUAUUAUUGUUUUUCUCUCAAUUAGGCUUGGUAAAAUUUUGGGUUCAGUCCAGGUUUGGUGUUGUCCGGGUUAAAUUCAUUUCAAUGCAUUUCAAUGAAAAUUUCUACUAUAUAAAUUCAUCCAAUUUCUAAUCUAAAUUCAUUCAAUUUAUAUCAAAAAAAUUUAAAUUCAACAACACAAUAAUCACCAAAUAAAUCUAAAUAAUAUCCAACAUAUCAUAAGUUCAUAAUUAUGAUACCAAUUACUAAUACAACAUAUGAAAAUCCUAAAAUGAUCAACAACUCAAAAAAUAGUUCAUAAAAGAGUCUCAAAAUACUCUCAUGUAAAAUAAGUAAAUAACAAGUUCAUGUCAUUGCUGCUAGACUAUUGUGGCCCAUCAUCAUCAUUAGAAAUUACCUCCUCCCCAAUAAAAAUCUCAUUUUCCAGAACUCCACCUAACAAUAAAAAUAACACAUUAAGAUUCAAAGCAUUUUAAGCAAACAAAUACUACUAAAAUAUAAUUCAAAUAACUUUAUACCUCGAGAAGUAGAAGCCCAAAUCCAAUUCUGAGCACACAUUAAUGCUUCCAGAGUGGCAGGAAGAAGUUUAUUACGAUGCAAACUCAAAAAUCUACCCAUGGUACUAAAAGCUGACUAAGAGGCAACAAUGGAUAUAAGAAUGGCUAAGAUAUCCUUAGCUAAUUCAGCCAAAAUAGGAUAUUGGCCUGUGUGCAUUUUCCAAAAGGCUAUAAAAUAUCAAAGUCCGGAGUGACAUCCAACAAUUCCUCAUCUAAAUACCUAUCCAACUCCGACUUAGUUACCUUAGCACACUUAUUUUGGCUUCGAAAUGUUUCAAACUCAUCUACAUCCCAAUAUUUAUUUGAAUUCAAACAAGAUUCAAAAUGAGAAAUUUCCGAUCUAGCAUUCUGCUCACCACUCACAACCGUUGCUUUCGAUUCAUAUUCUUUCACUAAAUCAUGACAAAGCUAAUGUGCACGCUCAAUAUGUUCAUCUACUGUAUCAUCAUAUAUCUUUAGGAAAUAAAAAUCAAUUAACAUCAUUUUAUAUCUUGGGUCAAGUACAACAGAUACAACUAGCAUUGAAUGAAUGUCAUUCCAAUAUUUAUUAAAUUUGUUAGCCAUUUUAUCAGCCAUAAUCUUAAUAGCAAGGUUUUUAGUAGUGCGCCACCUAUUAACUAACAAUUUCAUUUUACAUAUCAACGGAAAGAACAAAUUAGCAGUUGAAUAUUUUGUACCCGAAAACAUCUCCGUUAACAUGUAAAAUGAUUUCAAAUACUCCACCAUUAUGACUACCAAAUCCCACUCCUCAUCACUUGGCAAGCUCUUAUAUUGAGGCUCAUGUUGUUGCAACCAAGAAAAAACACUUUUAUACAUCAAUGCUACUUCAAGCAUGACAUAAGUAGAGUUCUAACGAGUAAGACAAUCUAAUUUCAAUUUUUUUUUUACAAUUAAUUUGUGAUUAUCUAGUAGCUAGCUCAAAAGUUUCAAGAAAAAACACUUCUAUACGAGUAACUCACACUCUCUCUAAUCUUUCCAACCCCAUUUUCUAUAACUUUCAACCCAUCUCGCACAAACAAGUACAAUAUAUGAGCAGUACAUCUCAUAUGAAAAAAUUUACCACUGGAAAUUAAGGUAUCAAUAUCAAACCUUAACAACAAUUUCUCCACCAUCGCGUCAUUAGUAGUACAAUUAUCCAAUGUCACCGAGGAUAACUUUCUAUCCACAUGCCAAUCCAGUAGACACUAUACUAACUCAUUAGAAAGGGCAUCAACAAUAUGGAGGCUCAUAACAUAGAUAAACCUAUCAAAUAUUCAAGUGUUGGUAUAAAAUACACAAACUUAAAAUGUUAUAACAAUUUAAACUUGAAAACAAAUAUAAUAUAAGUGAUAAAAAACUUAAAAGAGAAAUUAAGACAAUAAAAAAUUAUAGACAAAUUACCUUAAGAUUCGACUAUACAAUUUCUAGGAGUUGUCAAUGAAAUGGGAUGUCAUAACCAUAUAUCCUUUUUUUCUGAUUACUAGUUGUCCAUAAAUCCGUAGUAAUGGCCACUCUAUCAUGAUUUUUCUCCAAUAAAUGCAAAAUCUUAACCUUCUUGAUCUGAUAUAACUUCAAGAUCUCGUUCUUCAAAGUGUUUCUGCUCAUUGGCUUUACUACAUGGUUAGCAUGUGCCAUCAUUUCUCAAAAGCCUAUAUAUUCCACAAAUCUAAGUGGAAGCUCAUGCAUUAUAACUAUUCUUGCUAUCAAACUCUGUAAAGCGUUUUGAUCAAAACUGUCAUAACUAAUGCCACAAGUUCCAUCCUCUCUUUUAACGACUCUGAGACUUCCUUGAACUGCUUCAUCUAUUUUCGGUUGAUGCUUCUUAAAACAAAAUUCCACGUGUCUAUUCGAAGUUGAAGUCCCUGAUUAGUAUCUUGCUUUUAAAGUUGCACUACAAUGCAUGCACUUUGAAUUUUGUUCUCCAUUAACAAUUAUUUUUGUAAAGUGCUCCCAAGCAUUAGAGACUUUCUUCCUUUUUCCGAUUUCUUGUUUUCUCUUCUUAUCAUUCACGAUUGACACUGAAAUUUCCUCAACCACAUUAUCAGUUUUAUCUUCGACAUUAUGAGAUAAAACUGGUGCACUCUAUGAAUUGAUUUCUACGUUGUCUAACAUCACACUGUUCUGUUGUUACAAUAGCAAAGAAAUUAAGGAGAUUGUCAAAAAACUUGUGCAACUUAGUUUCCAUAUUUGUCUCUAUAAUUUUACUACACAAUUAAUGAUUUUUCCACAUAAAUUACCAAUCGUAUGUGCUGCGACUAUAUUUUGUGUUAAUGAAAUAUAACACCUAUUACAUAUGUUUAUUAUUAUCAAAAUUCAAAAAUCAGCUACUAUUACUAUAUUAUACAUGUUUAUUAUUAUAAAAAAAUCAAGUUCUAUUAAUGUAUUACAUAUGUUUAUUAUUAUAAAAAAAAGCUCGAGGAUAACAUCCAAAAAAAAAAUGUAAAGCAUAUAUAAAAUAGUAUAACACCAAAUAAUAAUAAUAAUAAUAAUAAUAAUAAUAAUAAUAAUAAUAAUAAUAAUAAUAAUAAUAAUUUCAUCAUUUUUUUAACUAAGUUGGAAAAAUUAUAUGAAAGGAAAAAUUAAGAAGUAAAAAAUCAAUACCUGGUGGCUGAGGCUGACCGGCUAUGAUGGCAGAGCGAUAACAAUUGAGAAAGUGGCAAUGGAGACGGUGGUUGUGACGGCAGCAGAGUGGGCUGCAUGAACGUUACUAUAGGUUGUGACAGUGGCAUUGGUGAUAGGGCAAAGCUGCGUGCCAAGGCUAGCGAGUGAGCAACCAAGAAGAGAUGAUGCUGAGGUGGGUGGUGGCUGCUGCUGGCUUGGAGUGUUUGAGGGUUGGAGGCGCGGCAGCCGGUGGCAGCGCUACUGCUUAUACUUUUCAAAAUAGGGUUCGAUUGGGAUUUGGUGAUUUGGGUAUUUGGGCUUUGAUUUUUAGGGCUUUGGUUAUUUGAUUUUGGUGUGUGUGUGUGUAUUAUUAAGAAACUGGGUCCGGGUUCUAGGUUUUUAGUGUUGUGCCCACACAUGUGCCCGAAAAUAUCCAGGUUUGAGAAUUUCAUGCCCGAAUAUGUUUUUUUAGUAUUUGCUCAAACUGGAUUGGCCGGGUCAUGUCCGGACGGAUUCUUUUGAUACCCUUACUUUCAAUUAAUCUGCGUUGGUUGCAAUUACAAAGGAGGCCAAAUUGACACUGGGAAGUGUUUCCAAAUAAUAGUAAGAUUAUGGAAGGCUAUUGAACAUGCAAUUUGGCAUACAACAAUAAGAUUGUGAAAACAAACUAAGUAUUAUAUUAUGUUGUAUUGUAUUAGUAUUGUUUUAUAGUAAUGUUGUAUAAUGUUUGGUACUACACUAUACUAUAUUUAUUUUUAAUUAUGCUAUAUUUGGUGCUGCACUAUAAUAUAUUAAUUUUUUUGUGAUUAAUUUAGAUUAUAUAUUUAUAAAAUAAUAUUUAUUAAUACUUAGAAAAAUACUAAUAUAGAAGUCUUCAAUUUUCGAAAUUUAACCUUUUUGAUAAAAAUGUUAGAAAAUAUCAUAUUUUUCAUAAAGAUCGAAGCUUAUGGUCUUAAAUUUUCAAAAGCAUAAUAUUUGUUUUUUAAUAUUUUCUAGAUAUAUAACUUGUGAAAUAAAAAUCAAAGUAAAUAAUUUAAUCAAAUGAUCUCUAAAUAUUACCACAAUAUAAUUACAAAAUAAUAAAGUGAAAUAAUUGUUAUGAAAAAUUCACUAACAAAAUGAAUUGUGCUAAAUAAUUCAGUAGUUAUUUAUAUUAUUAAUUUUAAAUUAAUAUUAUCUAAAUUUAUUCAUAUUUAAAUAUUUUAUUAUUAGUUAUGUUAAAUUAUUUAAAAAUAAUUAAUUUAAUUAUUGUAAUAUAAUUGAAUAGUUUAAUAUUUUAUUAUAUUAUCGAAGUAUUUAUUAUUAGUUAUAUUAAAUUGUUGAAGGAUAAUCAAUUUUUAUAUAUUAAUUACUAUAUAUAAUUAAAUAAUCUAAUAUUAUGUAAUAUUUUUAUUUUUAUAUAUUAUUUAAGUAUUUGUUAUUAGUUAUAUUCACUUAUUAAAUAUUAAUCAAUUUUAUAUAUUAAUUAUCAUAAUAUAAUAACAUAAAACAUGAUUUAGUUAUAUUUUUAAUAUAAUAAAAUUUAAUAUAAUAUAAUAUUAUUGUAUAAUAAUUAUAUAUUUAUUAAUUUAUAUUAGUAAUUAUGAUGCAAAAAUAAAAAUAAUAUUAUAUUAUAUUAAAAAUUAUAUUUAUUUAUUUAUUAUUAUUACAAAGAAAAAAAAAAAAACAAGCUACUACCGCAUUAGCUAAACCUGACUAACUAUUGGGUUUAGCUAAUGCGCCAAGUUGCUACAUUAGGUUGCAUUAUUGCAGCAAUUUGGUGCACCGAAUAUUAACAAUGCAACCCCAUGUAAUGAAAGGUGCCAAACACCCCCUUUCAGAAUUUCAUUGUGUUAUCUUUUAUUUUGCUAAGUCUAAUCCUAAAUCUAUUUUGAGCUACUUUGUGCAUGGCUCUGCUACACCAUACUCAUUCAUCAUCCGAAUGCACUAGCCUUUAAUUUUAAAGACAUUUUCUUAAGAUCUUUUUGUUAUCUGCAUAGAGAUAGAUUGUAGUAUAAAAUGAUCCAAAGCUUCACAAUCAUAUUUGAAUUUAAUUAAAUCAUAUUUUUGUACUAAGAGUUUCAUCUUACCCUAACUAUUAUUAUUUAGCUAAGCAUAAUUAAAAUAAAAAUAAUUAUGAAAAUUAAAUUAUUCAUAAUUGAAAGAAAUAAAAAUAACUAAAAUUUGAAAGUAAAACAAAAUUUAUUUAUUGAAAAUAUAUUAAAAAUAUUGAAACAUAAUUGAGAUAGAGAGAUGAAGAGAAGAACUUUGAGAUAAAAAAGUGAAGAAAGGUGUAGAGAGAUGUCUACAAGGGUAUUCCCCUCCAUUUAAACUAAUUCAUGAUCAAUCCACACCACACACAUAACUAAAGUCAAUUAUUUCAUAACCAUACAUUUGUUUCACUAACCAAAAAUAAACCUAAUUUAAUCCACUCAAGCACACUCAAUUUAUUCCACUAACAAUUACUACACCUAACAUUAAAAAAAAUAAUUAUUUUUCUAACAAUUUAUCACACCUAUCAUGGUAAAAACUUAUAAUUUCAUAACAAAGGGCGCAGCUCCUCCUCGACAAUGACUUAACUUUUUUGAACCUCCAGAAUCCAAGCUUAACAUCCGUUUAUCUAUUUGGAGUCUUGAAUUUUGUAAAAUUAAUAUUUUAUCUAAUAAACACGCAAAAAUACAUAAAAUUAAAUAUUUUUAUAAUAUUUUACAUAAUUACAUAUGUAAAUUAUAAUAUAAGCAAAAACUAAUAUUUUCACCCCUUAGUAAAUAUAUGAUUUUUAACACUAAUCACAACGAAUUACCUUUGGGUAUUUACUCAAAUAAAAAAUUAGAUCAGUGAAACUUUGUAGAUCACAAUAAAAUUCUCAAAACUUUGGGUGAAAACCAAUCAAUCUCUCCGGACAAUGCUUUUUUAAAAGAAAAUUCAUUCAAAUUUCAUAAAAGCCGCACCAAAACAUGUUUAAUUCAUAUACAAAUACUGGCUGAGGUAACUCAAGCCAAAUCCACCAUACAAGCUGAGUAAUUGUCCCUUACAGAACUUGUUGUAAUCCUCCAUGAGUUUGAUUAUGAUACUCCAUGCACUAAAAAUAACAAAACAGAUAAGUCUAAUGUUACGUACAUCUCCAUAAUUUUGUGCUUCCUCUUUACCAAUGCUAGCCGAAAGCCUGAUAAUUGAUAUAACACUGAGGCAAUUGUUCAAUAUUACAAUACAGGUAAUAAUAAAGCAACAUUAGGCCAUUGUCACAACUCACACGCAUAUAAUUAAUGAUAAAUCUACCCUGCCAAGCGAGCCACAAAUCAGAGUAAAUUGUUCUAUAUUACAAUAUAUAUGUUCAUUGCUGCGUCAAAAUAAAGAAGAUAUAGGAGAAAUAGGGAUAAAUUGAGCAAUUAAUAGAGAAGGAUAGAUAAGUGAGAUCAAAAGUCAUGCCUUUCUUAUGAUCAGUUGUCUGAACUCCUCUUGUCUCGCCACAAUGAGCCACAUCAGAACAAGUUGCAAUGGAAUGCCUUGGCAUCCCAAAAACCCGACGUACUCUUUUCAUCAAAACUAGACUCUUCAUGUAUGUAUCCAUGCAAAAGUCCAGGCAUCACUGUUAAUUCCAAGUCUGUGGAUAUUCCAAUUCACAGUAUCAACUGCAACCAGCUCCCCAUUAUGUCUUGUCACUAGGAGAACUUCUUCGUUUUUCCUAAGCCCCAUCAUCUUCCCUAAGCCUAAUCUUAGAUCAAUUUUGAAUUGCUUCGUCCAGGACUCUGCUACACCAUACUCAUUCGUCAUCUAAGUAACACAGCCAUCAUAGAUCGGGCUAUUUUGCCACUCCGUCGAAUAAUGCACUAAAGCAAGUGUUUGAUCAUGCACCCCAAUACACAAUUGUCGCCACCAGCCACGUUAUGGUCGAUACUCACAGGAUCAAAACCCAUAUCCGCAAAAAGGGCUCUGUGUGGCUACGCAGAAAGAAUUCAAAAGGAAUUCUAUUCCAACGCGAGAUUCUAAAGAAGGGUUCCAUAUAACUAGACUAUUUGUGCCACCUAUAGUACGUCCAAGCAAACACAAUUAACCGCAACGCAGACCAAUUAUCACAAAAUAGCCCUUUAAAUGGACUAAACAACUGACCAUUAUAGUGUAAUGUGAAUAUUCCUUUGUGAUUUGGUGUAUCAUAGUGCCUUAAAAUUAGCUUAGAACGGUCAGCGUUCUUGAUGCUAAACAGGGUGUAUUUAAGGAUAGGGGAGUAACAUAAUCUGCAGACGAGCUUGAAGUCUAUAAGCGAUUUUGAGGACAGUGUUAGGAGGAUCUGAACAACAACUUCCUCACAUAUGUAGUCUGACAUGACACGUAUUUGCAUCCACAAGAUCUUUUGCCGAUCGAUGCUGCUGUUUCUUGGCUUCGACAGAAUCUGCGAUUCAGUUCAACUUGUAAAACAAGUGAUUUUUCACAUGUGUCGUGCUUUUCUUGAAGCAUUUUGGAAAUCAAGUUGUAGUAAGGCGACGUUGCGUUGCGCGCCCGCGUGAAUUUCUGGCAUUUGGCAAAGUCCCUUGAGAUAUUUCAAGGCAUUUUUCAGCUGGAAUCUCGGUUGUAGGGUAGGUUGAUUAUAGCUUUUCAUUCAAAAGUAAAUUUAUGUUCAAGGAAAAAUUAGUUAUUUAGUCGUGGUUUAUAACUUCAUGUGAUCAUAUUCUCUCUUAAAUCUUAAUAAAAAAUUUCCUAAUUUUUCCACAAUUUUAUUACUGUGGCAGUCAUUUUGACAACCCAAACUUUUAAUCAAUCUCUAUCUAGUUGUAAACGUUCACCUAGAACAAAAAUUAUUUGAUCCUACAAGAACAAAUACUACUCGAAUUCAACAACUGAGCGAAUCAAGAACACUAUACUCGCCAUCUCAGAAAAAUAGCAAUAUGUACCUAGCAAUGGCAGCAGCAAAGAGAAACGUGAUCCGGUAAGAUAAUUACCACCAUUAUCGUCUUGAACUCACUAGAACUCUUGAAGAAACCUUUUUUUCACUCUUUUUGUUUCCUUUUUUCAACAAAAUUUCUUAAACUCUUUGACAAAAUUUUUCCAUAAAAUUUUAUCAAAUUCUUGAUUUCUGAUUUUAUUUGGGAAUUGUUCUCCGUUCCCUUCUUUAUGCAGCGAGUUUUAAUUUAGGAUUCAUGAAAUUCAAGAAAAACAAAAAAAUUAUUGAUUAUUUACAACAAGUUUGAUGAAAGAAUAAUUUUGCUGAUUGAUGAAAUAUUCUUUUGAGUGUGACUUGAGCAGCCAAAUUCUUUGGACUUACAUGUUUGAUUAAUAAGAAAUUAUUUUUAAAAGGUCAAUAAUUUUGAUUUGAUUUUUAAGGAAAUAAAAAAAAAGUCAACAAAUUUUGACUGCUGAAGUUUUAUGGACGGACCGGGUUAUUUGCACUCUAAAAAAUACUUUGAACACUCUUUAUUUUAAAAUAUAUUUUAUUAUAAAAUAAACUUUAAUGAAAUUAUUAAAAAAGACAUAAUUACUUUAACUUAAAAAUAAAAAUACUUUACACACCCAUUUAUUAUAAAUCCUAAAUUUUUAUUUACUUGAUCAAUUCAUCAUCUCAGGCUCAUGGAAGAUACAAAACCAAAAUUGUACAUUCUUCAUUGGUACACAGAUCAACACCCCAAUUUUCACCAAUGAGCUUCAAUUACAUCUCACAAAUCACAUUAAUAAAAAAAUUAUAAUAGAUUCUGUAACUUAUAGCUUGCAUUGAAUAUUCUAAUAGCAAGAAUGAUGAUUCAUAAAAGAAAAAAAAAAGGCAUUCAUGAAAGGAUUAAACAAUUUGCUGCAGCUCUUAAUUUUUGUGAAGGAACUCAGAAUUUUUCAAUAAGAACAAUUAUCAAUUAAUAAUACAUCUACAACUACAAAUUGAUUCUUCAAAUAUUUUAAUAUUCUGAAAGAGUAGUGAUCCCUUUCAGAAUAAUCUUAUCGUCAAAUAUGUUUUAAGAAAGCAAAAACAAGAGAAUAAAAAUAAAGAAAACGAAGAAGAAGAAGAAUACAGUGGGUGUUGAGAAAAAUAAUUAAGGUUAUUUUUGAGAUUUAAUAAAGUAUGUAUGGUAAAAGUUUAAUUUUUUAUUUUUACAUGUACUCUAAUUGAUUAAGAAUAUAUUUUAGAGUAGAAAUAGUCUUACCCUUUGUGUACUUUGACCCGCGUCAAUCCUUAACAUGUAGACUAUGUAGUCAACUCCUUUAGAUCUCAAAUUCAAUUACAUCGUGUAGUUUGGUAGUUAAGACCUUGACAAGUUAACGCAGUGUUUUUAUUAUUAAGAAUAAAAUUAGGCUCGGAUAUUUUAUUUCCUUUUUUAAUCAGGGACAUAAAAGCCUUGAGAUCUUUGGAGUUGACUAUAUGAUUCUCUUAAAUAUCGAACGGCAUGGAUUGGUCAAUUCCUUAAAAAAAAUAUGGAUGGAUAUUUUAUGCUAGUUUUGUUUUUAAUUAAUGAAAUAUUUGCUACGAAAUCUUCUCUUUCCCUGUAGAGCACAAUUAUACUACUUUAAAUAUCUCCUCUGUUAGUAUUAUUUUAGUUGUGAUAGUUAAUUAGUGGUGCCAUGUCUUUUGUUUUGUCAAAGAGAGCUAUUGCUCUGUUGUUGGUAAUGGCCAUUGUUUCCAGGGUUUCUUUUGCUGCUGUUUACAAAGUCGGUGAUGAUGCUGGUUGGUCUAUUCCAAAUGCGCAGAGUGUUAAUUACAAUGCUUGGGCUGAGGCUAUAGACUUCCAUGUUGGCGACAUUCUUUGUAAGCUUAAGCCAUUUUAAUUUCCUUUGUUUGUGAAUAAACAUCAAGUUCUUUAAUAAAUUAGGUUUAGAGUCGGUCCAUAUAUAUUGUUGCUUUUAAUUACUUUUAUGAACUCGAGUUGUUUUCAAACAGUUCAGUCUCAAAUUCUGGAGGUUAAAAAACUGAUUUCAGCUUUACUUAUUUUCACUAUGCAUUAACAUCUUUGAUUAUUAUACGAUGCUAUAUUUUUUCAUUACAAGUGAGACCAUUAUAAGUAUAAACCUUGGGGCUAGGCGCUGAGACUGUGUACAAUUGUUAAUAUUAAUCCAGCAUUCGAGUACAACUCCUUAUUUCACAGUGUGUUGGAAGUGAGCCGCGAAGAUUACGAGUCAUGCAACACACAAUCUCCGAUGAAAUCCUACACAACUGGCAAGGACUCGAUUACGUUAGAAUCAUCAGAUCCUCGCUACUUCAUUUGUGGAGCACCAGGGCACUGCCAAAUGGGAAUGAAACUUGAAAUUAGCACAAAUGGUGCCGGCAAUUCGCCUAACGUUCCAACAAGGCCAAUGCUGCAGUUGUCACCGUAUUCAUCUCCUGGCUGGAACCCAUGGCUCGAAUCUUCCGCUUGGCAGCUUCAGCUUGCGACAAAGCUUGUGAUAGCUGUGGCUGCUCUUGCAAUUUUUUCUAUUGGUUUCAUUUAUUAGCUAGGGAAGAUUUGUAAAUAAUUUUGCUAUUAAUGUGGUUGUAAGGAAUGAGAAUGAUCAGAGUUGUUGAGAGAGGGUAUUGUUGAUGAAUUUUAGUGAUAAUAUAUAUGGAUAUAGUACUUUUUUAAAGACCUAACCACUAAUAAUAUAUUGUCUGCUUUGAACUUCAGACACACAUUCUUUUCAUAAUCUUGUUCUUGAUACGAUCUAAGUCCAUUCAAAAGAGAAGUCAUCUCGCUAGUCUACUUUGCUAAUAAUUAAGCAAUGAUGAAUCAAAUAAUAUAUAACAGCAAAAACUAAACAUCUUUCAUUCUGAUGGAUAAAAACGACAAUAUAAAAAAAGACCCAUGUUUCAGAACUGAAAAUGAAAAAACAGAUAGGUUUGAUGUUUGCAUACAUCUCCAUUAUUUUGUGUUUGCUCUUUGCUCUUCACUGAUUCUAGCCACCCUCAAGCUUGACAAUUAAACCCCCGCGAGGUUUUGACAUAUUUUCUGGUUAAUUGAGAGUAGAAAAGAAGCCAUUGCUCAAUAUAUCACAAUAUAGAUAUUUAGCGUUAUGUCAAUAAAAUGAGAUUGUAUAAAAAGAUAAUUUGAGAUAUUAUUCUUGUUUGAUGUCAUUACCUCUACCGGUGGUCUAAACUCCACUUGUCUCGCCACGAUGUGCCUUUGAGGAAGAAGUUGCAUUGAACGGCGGCGUAGGCAUCUUCAAAACCCCAUUUAUUCUUUGCAUCAAAACUAGACUCUCCAUGUAAGUAUCCAAGAAAAAAGACCAUGUCUCACCAUAAAUUCCAAGCUUCUGCAUCUUCCGGUUCACAGUAUUAAAAGAAACCAACUCCUCGUUAUAUCUUGUAACCAGUAGCAUUUCUCCAUUUCUUCUCAGCCCCGCCAUCUUCCCUAGGCCUAACCUUAGAUCAAUUUUGAACUGCUUCGUCCAGGACUCUCCUAAUCCAUACUCCUUCAUCAUCCAAAUGCAACAGCCGUCAUAGGACGGGCUAUUGUACCACUGCGUAUAAUAAUGCAUUAAAGCAAGCUUUUGAUCAAGUGCCCCAAUAAACAAUUUUUGUUCUCUCCCAUAAGCUAAUUCGUCUGUCUUCAGUUCAUCUGGCACGUUCAAUUCCUUAAACACCUCUUCUCUCAAGUCAAACGCAAGCAAGACCAAUCUGCGUUGGAUUCCCUGAGCCACAUGAUGACUUUCUGUAUCGUAUCCAACCCAAUGAAGCGUCCCAUUCACAUAAGCUUGUGGAGUUUUUACAGUGAUUCUACAAAGACUCGUAUCCCCCGUAGUAACGUUCCUCCAACUUCCCACCUUCAGAGCAAAAACUUGAACAACUGGCCUUGGAGCGUCCCUCACACCAAUUAUAAAAUGGUCACGAACCACAAUCCUCACGACUUUGUAAUCAACACUCUUGGGAUCAAAUCCGAAUCCGUGGACAGAUUCAAAAUUAGCCGCAGUGAACUUAAACAUUAUUCUAACACAAGAUUCUAGAGAAGGGUUCCAUACAAUCACGGAUUUCGACAAACCUUUUUGGUGAUAGUCAAGAAGACACACUAAACCAUAGCAUAUACCAAUUACAUUAAAAGAGUCAGGCUUGUUUUCGAAUGGUAAAUCAAGUUCCUUGAUCGGACUAAAUGAAAUACCAUCAUGGUGUAAUGUGAAUCUUUCUUGGGAGUUAACCCUAUCAUAGUGCCUCAAAAUUACCUGAGAAUUGCUGGUGAUGUUCUUUAUGGCGAAAUGAGUAUAGUUAGAAAUGAACGUUGGGUCGUUGAUUAGAGCGCACCAUGAUUUGCAGACGCAUCUGAACUCUGAAACCGAUUUUGCUGGCAGUCUGAAGAGGAUCUGAGCAACAACUUCCUCAGGUACGUAAUCUGACAUUUUGCUUCCUGUUUGAUACUCUUCUUCUUUUUCUAUUUGGUCUUAUGAUUUACGAUAGACACUACUGCAAACUUAUAACCAAAUAGUUACUUCGAGGAGACGUUACUUUGCACUCAAUAAGAGAGCUGCUGCCAUUUGGCAGAUCACAUACAAGUAGUUUAGCUGGCACUAGUGCUGUCUUCUCAAAAAGAUGAUAAAUCUUUUGUGUACAGUCAGUUAAUUGGUAAUAAUUUGAUAAGUGAAGUUUUGUUUUUGGUAACCAUCAAUUUGUCAAGUAAUUUUUCAAUGCACAUGACAUCAUUAUUGAAUCGGUAAUGGACAGUUAACAUGAUAAAAGAUUUUCCUUGUACAUGUUUCAAAAUUAGUUUUGGUACUGUAUUUUAACUCUCCCUCUCUCACACACAUGUAACCAUAGCAUCAACUCUUUUGUAAAAAAAUCAUCUAUUUAAAAAUUUUAAAUUUUUUAUAUCCUAAAUAGAGAGAUACACAAGAAUUAAAUUAAUUUCCAUAAAACGUUGACGUGAGAGGAUUCGAUACCUAAAUCUCUAACUUCAAUUAUUUAAUGCAAGUGGUCAAUAUUUGGUGUAUAUUUUAUUAAUUGUAUUUUCAAAAAAUACAUUUUAAUUAUUUUAAAUUUGGUAGUAUUUUUCGAAAAUUGAAUUCUAUAUUUUCUUUAAUAUCUUAUUUUGAAGUCUCGUUUUGGUCGCUAGCUAAACACAUGAGGUGCUCGUGUCAAACCUUGAGUGGCUUCACCUGUUUUACACCUUCACAUGUAUGACAUCUCCUUAUAAAACUUUUUGAUAUGGUGUUUUCAUCAUCAUUAAAUCUUUCAUACAUAAAACUUUUAACAUAUAACUAUCUAUUUUUUGGUUGACAAUCAUUCCUUAAAAUAAAAAUGGCGAAAAUACCUUAAAAAAAGCGUUUUAGAAGUACAUGUUACAAGAAUUUUGAGAAAAAAAUUAGACAAAAGAUUCUUUUUGACUACUUAAUUAAAAAUAGCUUAAAAAUUGAGCUUCUUAAGUCAAUUUAAAAAAAAUAAUUCUAAACAUUUUUUUAAAAGGACAACAAUAUUACAUUUCUUUAAAAGCUCUAUUUUAUCAAUCAUAACCUAAUUUAUCAUCAUUGUCAUGAAAAUUUAUACGGAUUAUGUUUCCUUUAAAAAGUAAUCUAGCUUAAUAUGUAAAUUAUUAAUAAUACUAUUUGCCUUUUUUUUUUUUGCUUGUAAGAGAAAAAAAAAAGUCUAUUUAAUUAGGGACAUGCAAAUCCUUGUUAAUAUUGCCGUGCUUCCAUGAUUCUCCUAAAUAUCGAACGGCAUGGAUCGAUCAAUUCCUUCGAAGUAUCCAAGGCCGAUCGAAGAUGGAAUUUGAUGCUAGUUUAUUUUUUAAUAAAGAAAAUUCAAUAAUGUCCUAAAUAAAUAACAAGAAAACUAAUAAUUAUAGAAAACUAAUGAUUAUAGUAGUGCGAUAUUCUAAAACUUUAUAAUAUAGUAUUCAUUAAGUAGAUGGUGACAUAAUGUAAUGAAAAUAUACAUUCCCCCAUAAAGGGCCCACUAUAACGAUAGAAAUUGCGGCCUCCUGCUACUUGUUUUAUGGUUGGUGGUUUAAAAAAAGAAAAACGUAGACCACAAAAAUGAGAAAUCCUAAAAUAAUCAAAGGUAUUACAACCAACUAAUGCAUAUAUAAUAUGUGUAUUUUGAUUUAAUAUAAUCACCAUUUAAGUGAUGCUUUUUCAAAGUAAAUACAUGUAUGAUUGACAUGUUAGCUCUGAUAUGUUUUGGAAUUUCUCCAUAAAAACAGUAUAAGGAAGCUGUUAUUUUUAUGGCUAUGGGGUCUUUACAGACAAAUAUUAUCACUCUAAUAUAAUUAAUUUAUUUGAACUUGAUAAAUGACACAUUAUUUAAAAUGAAAUUUAAGGGAAAAUUUUGGAUGCUAAUCAUUAUUCCGGUAGAGUAAUUUAUUAAUUAGUAAAUUAGCUUUACCAUUACACACUACUAUAAAUACCAUUAUACAAGGCAAAGCACGCAAGGGCAGUGUUCAUUUCGAUCGCCAUAUAACACAGCAUGGCUAUUACCUUGUCAAAGGGCGCUAUUGCCUUGUUCUUGGUGACGGCCGUUGUUUCCAGGGUUUCUGUUGCUACUGUUUACAAAGUCGGUGUUUCGGCCGGCUGGUCCGUUCCAGCUGCUGAGCGUGAUAUCAAUUUUACCUUAAACCUUCUAUAUAAUGUUUACGGCACACAAUUCUGACAACUUUGUAGUCAUUAGUCUUGGGAUCAAACCCGAAUCCAUUAAUUGUUUCAAGAUUAACCCUUAGUGAAUUUAAACAUAACUCUAACACAUGAUUCUAGAGAAGGGUUCCAUAUAAUCGCAGACUUGGACAAACCAUCAUGGGAAUAUUCAAUCAGACACACUAGACCACAAUGUAUACCAAUUAUUUUAUAAGCACCUAGUCUAUUUUCAAACGGUAAAUCAAAUUAUUUAACUAUUUGACUAAAGGAGUUACUAUCAUCAUGGUGUGACGUGAAUCUUUCUUGCCGGUUAAGCCUAGCAUAGUGCCUUAAAAUUAUCUGAGAUUUGUUGGCACUGCUCUUGAUGGCCAUCUGGGUGUAUUGAGAAAUAAAAUAUGGGUUGUUGAUUAGAGAGUACCAUAAUUUACACACGCACUUGAACUCUGAAAGCGGUUUUGCGGGCACUCGUGGGAGGAUCUGAACCAGAACUUCUUCGGUUAUGUAAUCUGACAUUUUGCUUCUUCUUUUUCUUCUCUUUGGUCAUAUGAGUGAUAAUAGACACACUGCAACUCAAAAUAUAUAUAACCGAAUGGUUGCUUCCAUGAUACGUUUCUUUUCUCUUUAUAAGAGAGCUGCCGCCAUUUGGCAGAAACAAUACAGGUAAUUUAGCUGGCACCAAUCUUCUCAGACAGAUGACCUAGAAAUCUUUUCUCCAUCGGCGAUUAGUCGGUAAUAAUUUGAUAAGUAAAUUUUUCUUAAAGAAAAUUACUAAUUUGUCUGAUCAAUUAAGUUUUGAAAAUUAAGAUCUUUCCUAAUCUGAAUUACGUGAUUUUUUAAAAUUUUGUAUCACAUGUAUUUUAAGAUUUCAUUGUUUUUAUUUUUUAUUAGUUAAUCUCUAAUCACCAGGUAGAUUUUGAUCACGAGAAGCUCAUACUAUUCAUAAGGGAGUUCUAAAUGCACAUAACAUGAUCAUUAAAUUGACAUGAUGUAAAAUUUUCUUCUUCUGAAAUAAUAAUACAUACAUUUCAAAAGUUACUUUUAGAGAUGUUAAAUUUUAAACUAUGAUAUAUUUACUAUACAUGUAUAAAAGAUUGCUAUAAAAUUUCUGACAAAAAUGUUACAACCUAAUUUGUGGAGUAUAAAAGAAAAAUAAUGCAUUAUUUUUUUUUGUUGAAUUUUUUUUUAAUAUCAUACAUAUACACAUAUUUUUUUUGAAAUAUAUAUACACACGCGCGCACACAUAAAUUAAAUUAAUUUUCAUAUAAAACUGAAGUGAGGGUUUGAUACUUAAAUCUCCAGCUUUAAUCACUUUAUGUUAGUGGUCAAUUAUUAUUUGCUGUGUAAUUCUUAUUUUAAAAAAAAACACAUUUAAUGGUUUUAAAUUUAAUGGUAGUUUUUAAAACCUAAUCAUAUGUUCUCUUUUUAUACCUUAAGUCUUGUGUUAGUCUCCAGACCCAUAUACGGACACAUGAGUGCUCGUAUCAAUUUAAGACUAGCCUCACCUAUUUUGCACUUUCACAUAUAAGUAUAAACAUCUAUUGUCAGUUAUGUAAUCAUCAAUCAUACCUUAAAAAAAGAUAAUGAAAUCACAUUUAAAAACAAACUUUUAGAUUAUUUAUAAUGUUGAUUUUUAAAAAGAGAAAUGGUCAAUCUUUUAGAGAUAUAUUACAAGAUACAAGAGGUAAAAAUUUAGAUAAAAAUAAUAAUUUUUGACAAUUUAUUUUAAAAAAGUUGAAAGUUUUUUUAGAAGCCAAAUCGUAUGUUCUCUUUUACACCUUAUCGUGUUAGUCACCUAAUUAUAUAUACACGGACACAUGCUAUACUCAUGUCAAUUUUAGACCAAUCUCAUCCAUUUUACUAGGGGUGGGCAAUUUCGGAUUUGGAUCGGAUUCGAAUAAAUCCGAUCGGAUUUCGGAUAAUUCGGAUUGAAAAAAAAUUCAUCUGAAUUCAAUCCGACUUUAAAUCUGAUCCAAAUCCGAUCCGAAUUAUUCGGAUCGGAUGAAAAUUUCGGAUUACUCGGAUUCGGAUCGGAUCGAAUGAGUUUAGAUUUUGGAUUAUAUUUUGGAUUCGGAUUCGGAUUAUAUUUUGGAUUCGGAUUAAUUCGGAUUGAAAUCAGAUUUGGACAUUUUUAACAAUUCUCACAAAAAAUUUAUGAAAUAUAUAAUUAAUGAAAACUUACUAACCAUUAAAAAAAAAGAAAACCAAAACAAGUUGACAAAUGACAAUGUAUUAUUUCCUUGACAAUAUGGCAUUGACAUAUACCAAGAAAACAAGCCGAUACAAAGUUUCCAUUCACAAAAAUAAAAAAAAAUAUAAUCCAUUAAAAUGAAACAUUUAAAUAAUCAAAUCUAAUAAUCUAUAAUCAACGGCCCAUUUAUAUUCUCAUAUGCAUUCAUUUUGUACAAACACUCCCAUUUAAUUUAAUUAGUAAUCCUCUUACAAGCUAGGUGCAUAAACAUUACUCCAAAUCCAAGCCUCCAAAUAAGCAACACAAAAUAAACAUUGCUCCAACUCUCCAAAGUCCAAAUGAAUAACACAAAAUAAACUUUGCUCCAACUCCAAGUUUCCAAGUAAACAACACAAAAUAAACUUUGCUCCAAGUAUCCAAACAAACAAUACAAAAUAAACAAUCAAACAUUACUCAAAGUCUCCAAAUAAAUAAACAACACAAAAUCACAAAAUAAAUAUUAUCAUUAUAUCAUCCAACAAUAAAAUAAACCAAAAUAAAAAUUAUUAUCCAAAAACAUUUAGUCAUUUAGCUUUUUUUUUUUUAAUUUUCUGUUUUUUUUAGUUUACAGUGCAAAUCCGAUCGGAUGAUUCGGAUUGAUCCGAAUCCGAUCCGAUCCGAACCAAAUCCGAUCGGAUCGCACAAAUUUCAUCCAAUCGGAUUUGCCUUCAAAUCCGAAUCCGAUCCGAAUUAGUUCAGAUUGAAUCGGAUCGGAUCGGAUCGAAUUUAUCCGAAUCCGAUCUGAUGCCCACCCCUACAUUUUACUCCUUCACAUAACAUCUCUUUAUAAAACUUUUUUAAUUAAAUAAUUGUCAGUCAAUUAGUUGUCAAUCACACUUAAAAAAAAAUGGUAAAUUACAAAAAAAAAGAAACAAGAUUAUAUAUAUAUAUAAUCAUUCUCAGGUGUGGACAUCUGUAUUUUUUUUAUGCGGACACAUUUUUAAACUGUGUGAUUUUAAAGAGUUAAAAACUAACUCUCUUAAAUCCCGCGGUUUUAAAAUGUGUCCGCAAGAAAAAUAAAUGAGGACGCCCGCACUAAAGAAAGACUAUAUAUAUAUAUACACACACACACAUACACACAUAUAUAUUUUUUUACUCCCUUUAAUAACAAAAUUUUAAAAAAACAAGUCAACGCUCUCAAUAGUCAAAAACCCUCUAGUCCCUGAAAGUGAUGAAACCCACCCGAUUAAGUCAUUUACCUCCGACCCGACUAUCGAACUUCCCAUAUAAAAAAUGAACCGACAAUUUACCGCUUCAUUUAAAUCAUUUCUUUUGGAUCUUCCUUCUUCUACACUCUUUCUCCCUCGGAAGAAAUGAGUUUCAAUUCUUCAAAUUCAGAAGGCCAGAAAUCAAAGAGAAGCUUUAAUUCUAGUAAUUCAAAUAACAAUAGCAAUAACAAUGAUAACAAGAAGAAUAAAAGCAACCAGAAAACCCUAGGCGUAGCUUGGGGCUCCAAUUCUUACUCCUCCUCUCGCUCUUCUUUUCGCAAAUCUAAUUUUCCCGAUUUUGGCAGGUAAUUUUUUUUCUAGUAUUUUGAUAUAAUUCUCAUCGGUUUUGAUGCAUGGCCUGUAAUUUAAAUUUUUGAAAGAAUUGAUUUGUAUUAAAUUAUUAAAAGAAAUUGUUUAGGGGAGCCUAUUGUUUAUAUGAACCAUGAGGUACAGCUAGUUAUUGUACUAAUACAAGUGAGUUUAACUAAAUUUUGCUAAUCGUUCUGUUUGUUUCUAUGAAUUUUGAUAAAGUUUUAGUUUUGUUAAUUUUUACUACGUGUAACUGACAUGCUUGCGUAUUUUUAAGAUGAAUCAGAGACAUUUUAUUAAAAAGUUAUCAUUAUUAUAAAUGUUGUUAUUUUUUUCAUUGGUGCUGGUUGUUUUGAAUACAGUUAUAUGGUAGAAAAGAACCGGAAACUUCAAAGUCAGUUUGAUGCAGAAGCUUCGAGCUCUUCGCAUAGUGCUUCGACCUCUGGAAGGCUUAUAUUUCAGGGGGUUUCGAUUUUUGUUGAUGGUUUCACUAUUCCUUCAAGUCAGGUAUGUUUUCUUCAUAGGAUAGUUUUCUUAAGCUAUGUUUGGUUGCAAGGAGACUUAAGUAUCAAAAUUUCGAAAAGCAAAAAUUAAUGCUUAUGCUUUAUGGUUUUAAUUCAUUGUGUAAAACGUUUGGAUGUACCAUCUUCAUUUCAUUUCUUUUCCUAAGUUGUCUGGCUUUUAUCUUUUGUGUGGAUUUUGGUAGUGAAUAAUUUGUUGCCUUAGGAACUGCGAGGCUAUAUGUUGAAAUAUGGUGGUCGAUUUGAGAAUUACUUUUCCAGGCGUCAUGUCACCCAUAUCAUCUGUAGCAAUCUUCCAGACAGUAAAAUCAAGAAUUUGAGGUUCACAUUAUUAACCUUGGUUUCUUGUCCAAACUAAAAAAUUGUAAUUUUUAUUUGGAUAGAAUUAGUUAUGAUGCUGGUAAUUUUAACGUAGGUCCUUCAGUCGUGGGCUCCCAGUAGUGAAACCAACAUGGAUUCUGGAUUCUGUUGCUGCUAACAAAAUUUUGAGUUGUAAGUUUGUGAUUUUGCUGACUUUAUCUUGAUUUCCUGAAUAUUUCUCCAACUGGAGUGAUGGAUCAUGCACAAGUUUCUCUUUCAAAAGGAUUAUGUGACUAUUAUUUCUGUCUUUUCUUUUAUCUUUGUUUUUCUAAAUUAAUUUUCUUCAAUGUUGCUUUGCUACCAUUAGGGGUUCCUUACGAGCUUGAUCAACUUGCUAAUAAUCAACCGAAGUUGUCUGACUUCUUUUCUUCAAAGGGCAGCCACGUCCCUGAGGAUGCUCCUAUCACCUCGGUUUAUCAAGCAAAACUUCAAACAGAGGAUGCAUCUCUGAAUGAUGGCUGUUCAAAUAAUGAUGGUUUGUCUGAAAUGGAUGUGUCUACGGAACACGAAGGGCAGAUUAGUGUAGAAAUUGAAAAUCCUGCACUAGAUAAUGAUAAUGAAAAGAUGACUGAGCAACAAUUUUGUUGUGAUGGAAAAUCUUGUGAAGAAAACGUGGCAGAACGCAGUAGUUCUGAUAUAGAAAAUGAAAGCAGUGUGAAAAAUGGACAUCAGUCUUCUACUCUUCAACCCGCUACAAGUUCAACUGUUGCCUCUUCUAGAAAAUGCCAUUCAACCCUUGGGGAUCCCAAUUUUGUGGAAAAUUAUUUCAAGGUAGUGAAAUGGAAAGUGAUUGCAUGUUUUUGCUUUAGUUUCAUAUCGUCUUCUUCUGUGCUCCAUGGGUUAUUUGAAGCAUUUUAAAUCUACAUAAUUGAUACCUCUCUUGAUGAAUCUGUAUGACCAGUUGUGCACAAAAAGUUAUCUGCAGGAACUUAGUCUUGGUUAUAUCCUAACAAGGACUCUGGUUUCUGUAGAGUUCAAGGCUUCACUUCAUUGGUACUUGGAGAAAUCGGUAUCGUAAACGUUUCCCCAACUGCAGUGGGCUUAAGUGCAUGAGUUCUAGCCCAAGAGUUUCAUCAGAUUCUCAGAGGACUGCCAUCAUUCAUGUUGACAUGGUAAUCUCGUUAUCAUGGGGUUUAUAACAGGAUUUCUAAUAGACAUCUUUUCUUUUGCCUAUUAUUAUGGUUGUGAACUCCACCAAUUCUAGAGCAAUGUGAAACCUGUUGAACAAAAUGGAUGACCUCUGGACUUCAUAGAUGCAUGUGCUGUGUUGUCCUUAUCUGGGUUUGUAAUAUACCAUUGAUGCUGUUAUUCUGCUCCAGGACUGCUUCUUUGUGUCAGUUGUCAUCAGGAAUCGUCCUGAAUUACAGGAUAAGCCUGUAGCUGUAUGUCAUUCAGACAAUCCUAAAGGAACUGCUGAAAUUUCAUCUGCGAAUUAUCCUGCUAGAUCUUAUGGUUGGUUCUAUUCUAAGUCUUCUAUAUCUCAGUCCACUUACAUUUUUUAUGGUUUAUGUAUUUUCUGUAUACAAGUUGAUUUUAAUCCUUACUUUCAGGAGUUAGGGCUGGAAUGUUUGUUAGAGAUGCCAAGGCUCUUUGUCCCCGCCUCGUCAUUGUCCCUUACAACUUUGAAGCAUAUGAGGAGGUAAUAAAUUUGAACAUCCACUUUGAGUAUGUUUAAAGGAUGUGGCACUUCUGCAGCCUAGUGGGUUUCCUGAUCUUUUUCUUGUUUUUUUGUGAAACUAUGAAGGUUGCCGAUCAGUUUUAUGACAUCUUGCAUAAGCACUGCGAUAAAGUUCAGGUCUGGUCAUGGUUCCUUGAAUGCUAAUUCUUUCCUCCUUUGAGUUCUUAUCAAUAUAAUGUUUGUUGAAUACAGGCAGUUAGCUGUGACGAAGCAUUUUUAGAUGUCACAAACUUGGAAGGGGAGAAUCAUGAAUUUCUAGCUUCAAAAAUAAGAAAAGAGAUUUUUGAAACCACAGGUUGCACAGCAAGUAUUGGCAUAGCUGGGAAUAUGCUUGUUGCCCGCCUUGCCACUAGAACAGCUAAACCUAACGGUCAAUGCUACAUCCCUCCAGAGGGGGUAUGUCUUGUGACUGUUGUUUUUUUAUAGGAGGCAUUGUCUAAUAAUUUGUUUAUAUUAGUACUUCAGCGUAGAUGUUCUGAUAUGCUAAAUGAUAAUUUUACCAUGCCAUAACUUGUUACAUUCUCAAAAUAAUUGUUCUCUCAUUUUUUUUUCCUUUUUAGCGAAUUUUUUUAUGACUGACGAACUUAAUGUAAUUGUUUUCAAGUGCUUUAAGAAAUAAGAAAAUCCACUCUGGUUAUGCUUUGUAUAACUUAUGAAGUUGACACUAUCCCUUCUAUAUAUCCAUACAAGUUAUGUAGUGUUGCAUGAAGGUCACCUUCUUGACUAAAGUAGUUGAAUUGUUGCAGGUGGAUGAGUAUCUGAAUCAACUUCCAAUCAAAGAACUUCCAGGAAUAGGUUAUGCUUUAGAGGAGAAGUUGAAGAAGCAAAACGUUUGGACUUGUGGUCAGUUGCGUACGAUUUCCAAGGUCUAUUAUGUCUCAUCUCUAAUUGCGGAUAUUAGUUUGCAAUUUUUGAUAUUAGACCCAGUCUUGUCAUUCUACUUUAGGUUACAAAUGUAUAAUUCCGAUAGACUCUAGCAGGUUAUGAUUUGACCAAUGGCAUUCUACAGACCUUUAUUUCAUUAAUCUUUAUUUACAUUGGAUUACCACAUUGUCUCCGCAGACAAAAAAGAAAAGUAAAUGAAAGGGUAAAUAUUCUUUAUUGACUAGAACAAAAUGAAUUGACUAAAUUAGAACUAAAUGAAUGGGACUAAAUUCUACAAGAAAAUACUGAAAUAUGUUCUGAAGUGUUUCUUAAUCAGAAUUAAUUUGUUAAAAGUCAAAAAAGCAAUAGGCAAGGAGGUUUCUGUGUAUUCUAAUGCAUUUAGUUUUUUGGAAUUUCAGGACUCUCUUCAAAAGGAUUUUGGAGCAAAAACUGGUGAGAUGCUGUGGAAUUAUAGUAGAGGAGUAGAUAACCGGGAAGUUGGGGUCAUUCAGGUUUGGAAAAAUAUAUUUGUUCUUUGUGCCAGCACUUGUAUACUUUAGACUGCUAUGUGCUCUUAAAGAUGAACCUCGUGUUUAUUAUUAUUAUAUUGUUGUUAGAAAUGGGGAUUAUACAAAAAGAAUAAGCAGUCUGUUAAAAUAGGACCAGCCUGAGCUGACAAAAAGAAAUAUCCUGUAAUUUGCUGGAAAAUGCAUAGUAUGCUAUCCUUCUGCUUAUUGAGUUGCUUUUUAUAUUUAACAUACAUGUUUUCUAGUAUAUUUGCUUCUAUGUAUUUUUAUUUCUUAUUUUUCUAUUUUCUUUUCUCAUGUUAUUUGACAUCAUCUGAGGCUUGCUGACAGAUGAUGUGAUCUGCAGGAAAGCAAGUCUAUAGGUGCUGAAGUAAAUUGGGGGGUCAGGUUUAAGGAUUUGAAUGAUGUGGGUAUUCUGAUGCCUUGUAGAAGCUUACUCUCACUUUUUCUUUUUCUCUCUCUUUGGGAAGGUCAUGAAUUGAUGUAUUAUUUAUUGCAGAGUCAACAUUUUCUUUUGAGCCUUUGCAAGGAGGUUUCAUUGCGCUUGCAGGGGUGUGGAGUGAAAGGACGUACAUUUACCCUCAAGGUAUGUCAUUCUGCCAUUGUGCUUUAUCUUUAAAUCAUGCAAUGCACUCAGUUGAGUGGAGCUUCUUCUUGAUGUAUUAUGUCUCCUUAAUCCCUUGAGAAGCUACGUCUUAGUUAUUAUAGGGAUGUGAUAUGAACAAAAUUCAUUUUAUUUAUUUGUUUAUUCCUGUAUACUUCUAGAUGAAAAAGAGAAAACAAGAUGCUGGCGAGCCUACAAAAUAUAUGGGCUGUGGGGUCUGUGAUAAUUUGAGCCACUCCACAACGGUAUUAGCUAUGGACGAAAUGCAGCUUCAAUUAUUUUUUUUAAUCCCUAUAUGUAUUGGAGGUUGAAGUAUUAAGAUUAUUAAGGUUUGCUAUAGGUUCCAGUUGCUACUAAUGAUGUGGAAGUGCUUCAGAGGAUAACCAAGCAGCUUUUUGGGUCUUUCCCUUUAGGUAAGUUAGUGUAGCAAAUUAGAGUUUUUUUAAACUUCCAUUUUGGAUAAGAGUAUCCAUGUUGUUGGUGUGUGUAAUUUAAUGGUCAGCUAUUUUGUAUCUAUAAACUUUGUGAACCUUCUUUUUGUUUCAUGUUGUAUUUUCUGGAUAUAGAUAGCAUUCUGUUAAUAUUUUGAUUGAUUUUGCACAGAUGUUCAGGACAUUCGGGGUAUUGGCUUGCAAGUUUCGAAGCUUGAAAAUGCUGACACUUCUAAACAAGGUAUGUGGUGCUGAAGAUAGUUCAUACCAAUUGUAUUCUGCCUAAUUUCUUAUAUUUCAUGACACUGUUUUAGCUAUAACAAAUACGUGCUGUUUCUAAGGCUACUUAUAUAUAAUACAGAUUUUCUCCCUCACUAGUCACUACAAUGUCAUUUGUUCUAAUAAUCAAAGUUUGUUUCUGAUAAAGUUUUCCUUUUAACUCUGGUGGUAUGAAGGGGUUGAAAGAAACACUUUAAGAUCUUGGCUCACAUCUGCAUCUGCUACUACAGAAGAGCAACAUGAUAUCAAUAGAAGGACUGGAGAGAGAACUAAUAUAGGUAUUUUAAAGUUGCAUUUUGCACACUACAUGUCCUUGAUUACUUCUAAUAGCAUUUUGAUUAAAAUUUCUGAUCUAUCUGCGUCUGGUUUCUGAGGUGAACACUGAAAUUAUAAAAAUUGGAUGAUUACUGGCACAGAGGAGGACUCAGUUAUAUAUGGAAUAUAAUAGAGUUUUAGCAGAAUUUUCUGUUUUCUUCUGCUGCUUGAAACUCUAAAUGCUCGUAUAUGAGAUUAUCAAAAUUGUUUAUUUGAGAUGUACAUUUACUGAUUAGGAUGACAACGAAAGAUCUUAUUAGCAUUCAUGAUAUUACUGAGUUGAUCGGGAAAAGGAGUUAGAAACAAUCAUGUUUCUGGAAAUACAUGAAGUUUAGUUGUCUUAACAUUAGGGAUUAGGGUGAGAGUAUCACACGAUGUUAAGUUUUUAUUGGUAUCUUGUAUAAAGAUAUGUUGAUAACCUGAUAUUGGGAUGUCCUAUCUAUUGGUAUAGUAUUGUAGAACUUACUACGCCGACUCUUGACUCUGAAUUAGGUUCUAAGAUAAGUCACUAUGAAAGCUAUUAUAAUUUCUAAGAUGGCAACAUUUGGAAAUUAUUCCAACUUCAGGCAAAAGAAGGCCGGAUGUGUUAUAUAAAAAUUUUAAUUUUUCAAUUAUGUUUAUUUGAACAUUUGCUUUUAUUGUUGAUUUGGUUAAAGAUGAAAUAAAAUGACUGCUCUUCCAUUAAUGGUUUUCUUGAUAGAUUGUGUGAGACAUAGUGAUGGAAGUCUGGGUCAACUAUGCGCUGAUACAGGUGAGCGUUCUGUUCAAAUGGACAAUAAUCUGUCCAGUUGUCAAGCUUCUUCGAACCAAACUCUGCCACCUUUGUGCCAUCUUGAUAUGGGAGUUGUAGAGAAUCUUCCUCCAGAACUGUUUUCAGAACUGAAUGAAACCUAUGGUGGGAAGUUAGUUGAUUUUAUUGCUAAGAACAAAUGUAGAAGUGAAAAUACCAGCAGUUCUUUAUGUAACUCUCCUUACAAAACUGAAGGUGAUCUUUUCUUACCUGGAUUUUAAAGGAAUAAUAUGGUAAUAUUCAUUAGUUUCUACCAGUUCCUUAUGGAUGUGUUGGUUUUGUUGAUUAAGGUGCUGUAAACAAGGGAAAGCAACCUCUCUUUUCUGAGGUCACCCUGAAAGGAGGGCCUGUGGAAGUAAAGGUAACUUCUUAUCAUUAUCAUUCUGGCUUUGUUUCUCAGUCACUAGUUGAUGAAAUAUUUGCCCAUUUUGUUAGGCUGAACAGUAUACAGUUGAGGAAAUGCAGGCAGUAUCUGUUUUGAGAGCAGGAUCCUGCAGUGGGGCCAGUACCACUUUGGGUCUUAAUAAAAUUGAUUUAAUGCCUUCAUCUCUUAGUCAGGUAGAUAUCUCAGUGUUACAACAGUUACCUGAAGAAGUGAGGGUUGAUAUACUUGAGCAGCUUCCUGCACACAGAGAGCAGGAUUUCACUUGUAGUGCUGCCGUGGUUCUUCCAGAAAAUGCACAGGAAUUAUUAGGUUUCAAGACCACUGAGAAUCUUUCUGGAUUAAAUGAAUCUGUGGUUAACAAUAAUCUUUGGGCUGGAAAUCCUCCACUGUGGGUUGAUAAGUUUAAAGCCAGCAACUUCUUGAUGCUGAACAUUCUGGCAGACAUGUACUACAAGUCUGGAUCAACUGAGAAUUUUUCUCCAACAUUGCAACAUACUGUAUCCAUACCUCUACAUCCUCUGGAUGCAAGUUCUGAUGGAUGGGAUGAAGCCAUUCAUUACAUGUGUGAGCUUCUCAGGCAAUAUAUUGAACUGAGGCUAGAAGUAGAUAUCGAAGAAAUCUACAUUUGUUUUCGGCUUCUGAAAAGGUAUUUGUGCAAAGCUGGCUGACUAAUUUUGAGUUCUGUUGAACUUCUUUUCAGGGAUAGAGCCUUAUUUGAUUGAUAUUGUUUGAAGUCUUAUCAAUGUUGUUUUCCCUAUAAAAAAUAUACCUUAACUGAAUAUGUGGAAAUGAAGUUCCCAAUUGUGUUUGUCCUAAACUUCUAUUCUUUGAUAACUUUGAAGAAUAUCUUGAUUGGAGGUUUUAUUCUUUCAGGAUUAUGGUGAAGUCAGAAUUUUUUUCACAAGUUUAUGACAUCGUCUUACCUUACCUUCAGGUUAGUAUGUCUACUUUUCUUAUUUUGAAAUUUCUUGGACAGAAGAGCGUCUUAUGGUAACAAUUAACAUUUAUCUUUAGAAAUCCUGCUUUUUGUUACUGUGUGCUUCUAUUACUAGACUACCAAUAUGUACUAUAAGGUAUUUGAAACAUACUUGAUGGGAUUUCUCCACAAAGUUGUAUUACAAUGGGAUAUUAAGACAGAAGUCCACAUGUUUAUGCUAAUUACAGAGUCUACAUAUUAGAGUUUAUAAACUGUAAUCUAUGAACUGAUGGGUUAGGGAUAGUAAAUUUCAUCCUUAUGUUUUAGUUUCUUAACGAACAGUUAGGACUUCGCUACUCUGUUGUGCAUGUUUAGAAUUGCCGGUGGCAUUGGUGUUCCCUUGACAUUGUGUUCUAAUCAGUAUGUUAGGUAGUUCACUCAAAAUCACCGGUGUAAGAUUUUCUUUGUAAUGGUUUGCAUUCAACUCCAUGUUGGAACUGCUACUUGAACUCCCACUAAUUUUUAUGCUUUUAAAACAUUCUUGAUUAUCAUGAAAGGAGAUAUGAUGAGAUGACUUUCUUUUUCAAGGUUUUGCAUCUGAUAUCUGAUUCAGUUCCGCUUGUAUUUAAAUCUUGCUUUACAGGCAUCUGUAGGUCAUAUCUAUGGAGGAAACAUGCAUAUAUAAUGUAGUUCCUCUUACCAUGGAGCUUCUCACAUUUGCUCUGAGGUAUUUUGAAUGCCCGCUGCACCCCCUGCAAUUCACGACGAAGAUCUGAAGGUUUACUUCUAAAUGUUUGCUGUCCCUAAUUUGGGUUCUACCUGUGUUUCUUUAAUUCUAACCGUUUUUGUAUGAUUUAAGUCAAAAUAAAGUACAUAGACUAUAUCUUCUUAAUUCUGCCCUUUAUUCGAGUAGUUUUUUAUUUGCAAAUUACCGAGAUCUAAGCUUCUUUGAAUCUAAUUGCUUAUUUUCUAAAAUGAUUCAAAUCUCAUAUGCAGACUUACUAUUUAAUGAUGCUUUUGGGGUUAAACUUUUCCAAGCACCUUGCAUCUGAGCUUGCUGUUCUAUGUCGCGAUUCAAGUGAAUAUGCUGUUUUUAAGUUCAAUUUAAUCCACUUCAGUUCCAAAACAUUUGUUGUCGGCUUGAGGAUUCUUGCAAAAUACUUGGGUAAUAUCUCACAUUUUCUAAUUAUGGCUGAAUUCUUUAUAGAUAUCAUCUUCAACUGUUUUUGCCAUACACUGUGCAACAAAGGUCUCUGAUUAAAUGUAGCACACUUAGAAGAGCAUUCAGUUAUUCUGUUUUGGCUUCUGAGAAACAGCUGGCAUAAUACUGUCUAAUUUUCAUGAAGAGAUGGUUUAGUUGCUUGGUGACUUCUCAUUCAAGUUUCUAUAACAUUCCUAGGAUGUGUUACUGAUCUUAUGUAUAAUCAUCUGAUUAAAUACAUUUCAGAGAUGAUUUGAUACCUAGAUAUGAGUUAUUUGGGUCCUUUUCCUCUUUAUGGUUUUCAAAGAUUUAUGUUGAUUGCUGUAAGAGAUGUUGACUUUUAAUCUUGUUCUUGAUGCUUGCACAUUGGAUGUUAUUUGGAAUGCCCUUCACUGAAGCCACUCUUUUCAUUUUGAUUUGUUUAGGGCUGUUAUCACCUCCCCGCCUCAACCUGAAUCCCCCAUCUUGUACUGGAGAUUUGUGAUAUUAUAUUUGACUUGGCGCUAUGGAAUAAAUUGGAAAGUAUCUUGAAUUCAUGAAUUGGGUCUACGGCAUUGCAUACAAGAUCAACUUGUUGGUACUUCCUCUGCUCCUAGUUUAAUUAACACAUUAAUUGGGUUAUUGUUUUCUAAUGUGCUCUCACUAUGUUUUUUUUCUAGAGACUGAAGUGGCCACCCUCGAGUUUUAUUAGCAAUAUGUGAAAUGAUUGGUCUUUGGUGAAUCUCACUGUUUUGCUGCUGGUUCAGUCAUUUGUCGACCAAUGACUGCAGAAAAAGGCACUCGAUAGUUGGCCUUUAUCUUCUUAAAAGUAUCAUUGCAAAUACAAUGGUGGUUAGUGAAGAAACUGUUUGCACUUCAGUUUCUUUCUUUCAUCCCUCCCCCCCCCCCCCCCCCCCCCCCCCCCCCCCCCCCCCCCCCCCCCCCCCCCCACCCGGGGCCCCGGCGUUAAUAAUAUUAUCUUGGAAUUUUCGAAGGGGGGCCGUGCAGUAUUCUUUUGUUUGCUCGUGGUAGGUUUUCUCAUGUAAGUCCGGGGACGGUGGUGGUGGAUUGAUUCGAAUGCGUCUGCCAUUUGGAUAGGGUGGUCCGUGCCAUCUUCAAACCAACCUUUUUUUUUUUAGGUUCCAAAUCCUUGAUGGCAUUCUCAUUACUUGACAAUCUUGAUGUUUGUACAAUGCUCCUUCAUGGUUCAUCAAAGUUUCUGUUAUUGAAUUGUCCAAGGGGUGAAAUUUUGGGUCAGGAUUCAUUAAUUCUAUUCGAUUCGAGUCAAAUUAAAUAGGUUUGAGUUUGAAAAAAAAAAUGAUUUGUUUAAUAAAUCAGCAAAUUUGAUUCAAUUCGUUAAAUAAAUGAAUCGAAUUCAGGUUUAAGGUUGCCUAUUGUUUAGAAUUUAUUUAUUAAGCGGGUUUUAAAUGAACAAAAUAAUAGACAAUCUUUUUAAUAAAAUUACUUAUUUACCAUUAAAAUUCAAAAAAAAAAAAUUGUUUAAACAUUUUCAAGGUAUAAGGUUAGUUUUGUUAUUAGGAAAUGAUAAUAAGCCAAAAAAGAAAAUGAAAGUAAAAGCAUCAUCACUCAUCAGUUGAUCUUAGGGUUUAGUCAUGUUGAAAUUGUUUUGAGGUAGAACAUAUUUUCAUAACUACACAAUUAAAGUUAUAAUGAAUGUUUUAUUAUUUAUCACUUUGUGUGUAUGGUUGUAAUUCAUGAUAGUCAUAACCAUUUAAAAAACAUGCGUCUUCAUUUCCCAAACGAAAGCCAAACUAAACACUCCCAAAAAUUAGAUCAAUGCUCUCACUUAAAAUGUUCAGGCAAGCUUCACUUCUGUUGGCUGCUGCAAUGACAAGUUCUCGAAUAGCUACACGUACCAAUGAUCUAACCGUCAAUUUCAUUCUUCCUUGUGUUUAGCUUGGAUUAGGGAUGGCAAAUAAGUUUCUUCAGCUUCUUGUUUUUUUAUUUGUACUUGUGUUGAGCUUGGAAUUUGGAUCUAGUUGUAAUGAAUCGAUUUUGUUGGUUAGAUUGUAAACGAACUUAGCUGAAGUUAUUCGAUUCUUUAUUUAUAAGUUUUCAUUUAUUAUUUAAUUUAAUUUUGUAUAGUAAAUGAAUUGCAAUGAAUCCGAAUCCAUUGAAUUUUGAUUUGAUUCAUUUAGAAUUCGACAUAGAUUCGAUUCACCAAUUUGUUUUGCCACCAUUAAGUUGUCCUGGUCGUCAUUUUGACAUUCAAUUCAGCUUGUCAAAAGAGAAAUUUAUGACGUAGCUGAUAUUUGAAUUGACAAAGUCGUUACUAUCAAAUCUUUUUUACUUUAGUAUCGGUUCCACUUUCAGGACAACGAUGUGCUUGGUUAAUAUGGAAGAAAUUUAACCCAGAACACUAAAAUAAAACCGGAGAACAAGUACAGUAUAAUAUUUAUACUCAGUAAGUUAUGAUUCGGUGAUUCCUGCUUAUGAUUAUGUUUGUUGCCCAUUGCCAUCAUCAAGGUUGGUGUUUUAAUUAAAAAAAAAAGUAGUCUAUAAAACUGUGGAAGACCCCGUCUCGUUAUUGAUGCGAGUUGCUUUCGUAUUAUAGGCGUCAUGAAAAUGAAACAUAAAGAAAUAAAGAAAUAGAAUUAUUUGUUAUAUAUUUGCUUUCCUUAUAAUUUGCAGGUGUGGACCGCAGACUUGGCGGUCGCUUAUUUACAUGGAGACGCUGCCUGUUAGUCUCUGAAUUGGCUGCAGAGAUUGAAUAAGAGGAAAGCAGCAUUUGGCUUUGGCUUUGACAAGCGACCACUUACGACAUUUGAGGGUACACGGAAUCGCCACACAAACGGCUAUGCAAACAUUUUUGCAUAAAUUGAUCUGCCAGCUUAUUCCUCUUGACUCUAUUAGGUUAUUAAAAUAAUAAUAAUAAUAAUAAUAAUAAUAAUAAUAAUAAUAAUAAUAAUAAUAAUAAUAAUAAUAAUAAUAACUUUUCUUUUACUUAAAUAGGAUUCAUUUGUGAGAUAAAUAUUAGAGAUCGGAACAUUUAACUCUCAACUUAAAUUUCAAUACUAUGUGUCAUUUAUCUAUUAGAUGAUAGAUUUUAUAACUAAUAAAAUUAUUUAACUAUUAUCCAAUGAAUGCCAUAUUAAUUAGAACUCAAAUUAAAAUUUAGAUUUUUGGAUAACUAGCGUUCCUCUCUCGUUUAUUACUUGCUCUUAUCUAACACACUAACACUAACGUAUGGGAUUUAAAAAAAAAAAAAAGAAAAAGCUUCAUGGAUUCUUGACUCGUGUGUUUGAUCGCUAUCACGUGGCGGGAAUUGAUUAUUAUUAUGUUUUGAAAUUGAUUAUCUUGAUAGCUAACUUGUGAUGCUUGUAUACUUUUUAAUUACUAUUUCUAGUCCGUGGUCAACUUUUUGAAUUUUUAAUUCUUAUUUUAUUUUGCUUAAGUUGACCGUCACUCUUGUCAUGCGAGAUUUCAGUAAGUUUUGAUUAUUUUAUUGCUUGGGUCUUCACUUCAAAUCUUCGAUAUUAUUACGACGAUACUAAUCAAACACAAUUCAAGCCAUAGAAUUUGGUCGUACUCAUUGAAUCAAUUUAAUCACUGUUCACAUCAUUUAUAUCUUCCGUGCUUAAGGGUUUCUAAGGUGGUAACCGUCAAAAGGGAGUAUAAGCAAAUAUUUAAUGAAAAAUGAAUCGGCUUGCUACAAUAUUUUAGUAAGAGAGAGAUAUGUUUGACCAAUUCAGGAUCUAGCAAUGAGAACAGAAUGAAGGGACAAUUUUGGAGUAGUUUUGGUCGGGAGAAAGAAACGAACUUCUGUAUUUUGAAAUUAUCAUGUCAAUAAAGCAGCAGCGACAACAACAAAAACCAAAAGGGAAGAGUUCAAUCAAGUUAUUAGAUAAAUACGUUAAAAAAAAUAAAAUAAAAUUUUGCAUCCCACCAAACGGCAUGCCGAAAUAUAUUUUUAGCCCGACUUGUUGACAUUGAGCUACAAAUCUCUAUCUCAUUUAAAAAAAAAAAACAUACCAAUAGUCAAACUUGCCUUCACGAUUUCACUGGCAAGUGUUAUUUUUUAACUUGAUGUUUAUUUAAUUUCUUGGCUACGGUUUCAAACGCGCCAGGUUUCAAAACUAUACAACGCAUAAUUUUUCCUCAACGAGUAGGUGCCGAAGUUAAUAUCAGUCAAAGAACAUACGCUUAUUUAUUUCCCAAGUAAUAACUUUAUAUCACAUUAUAUAUAUGACCAGAAUCUGCUACAUUUCGGUCCAAAACAGCUAUAUCCCAAGCUAGCUAAUAACAACAGGAGGAAACAAGGACAGAAAAAUGAGGGUUUCUUCGCUUCUAUUGGCCUUCAAUGCCAUUUCCAUCAUCAUCCUCUUCCUCUUGCUUUCUUACUCCAUGCAUAUUGAAGGUUCGAGGCUGCUGCAUGACCAUCAACCUUCCCUUCCUUCGGUAAAGGGUGUCAGAACCAUGGCUUACUCCGGGCCAAGCCAUCGCGGUCGUGGUCACUAACGUCAUGGGAACUGAGUAAUUUUUUUUUUUUUUUUGGGUGCUUCACACAUUCUUUAGUUCUCCAAAAGUUUUGUUUCUGUAUACUUGAUUUCACUAGAUUUUUAUUUUCACUCUAAGAAUCCAGCAGAGCAGAAGUAGGAGCAAGGGCUUCUGUGACUGUAUCUCCCAACGACCAAGGAGAUAUCAUUAGAAUAACAAGAGGUGCAUAUGUAUACCUACACAUGUAACAUGAAACAUGUUACAUGCAUGCAGUAUCUUAUUUAAUCUCCUUUUUUUUUUUUUAAUUUACUGAUCUAGCUUAUUGCUAAUCAUUCCGGUGAACAUGCAAUAGGAAAAUUAUACGCAGUUCAUUUUAUCAUGUAAAUGGUUCUUCAAAUACAACAACCAAACAAUGAAAGUAUGAAAGCUUCUUCUUGAUUUUGUGAUUCCGCUUGAUGUGUUCUUUCUUUUUCUUUUAUAUUACGAUGGUUGGGGGAACCUAUGUCGUAGCCUGGCCAUCCAGUCCGAAAAAAAUUAUGGAAGAUAAAGGUUCUAAUUGAAAUUUAGCCAUUUUCUUUGAACAAUCUACGUUUUGGCCGACCUUGUUUAAGUUAUAUUAAUUGAAUAUAACUUCCUUAAGUUUGUAAUUUAUUUAUUUUGGCCGUCACUAAUUGACCAAAACCUUAGUUCCGCUCAUGGUGUACUCUCUUAUAAUUAUUUUUUGCCUGAUGGUUUAUUAGAAAAAAACAAAAAGAUGUAUAUGGAUUUUAAUCUGGAGAGUAUAAUCUAAUAAUGGUCACAAAACAUAAUUUUAUCUGAGCUCAAUAAGUAGAGUUCAGAUCAUUAAGGAAAAGAAAAAAACAAGAGAGGGAAACAAAAUCAUUCACAAAAUGUCCCUCUUUUCUUUUUGAAAUCAUGAUAAUUAAAUUCUAUUUAAAAUUUAAUUUUUUUUUUAAUAUUACUAUCACAACAUAGGAAGAAUCUAACUCUUCAUCUUAUAAAUAAGAGGAAAAAAUACUAAUUAACUCAAAUUAGGAGUUGUUACUUUACUUUCUCAUAAAUAUUUGACUGUUAAAUAAUGUUUUUAUUUUAAAAAAAUGGUGAAAUUUAUUAAUUAUUUUCCUCUAGGAAGUCAAUUUUAUUAUUUAGUAUAUAUACUGUUUAUUGCUUUAUUGAAUAAGGGUCGGGUAUGGAUAAAAGUUUGUCCAGGAUUUAAUUAUCAAGCACCUGGUUCGUUUCCUAGAGAAUAAAAAAGAACUACAGUUUCCGAAUUUAAUAGGUUUUGAGAAACGUUGAUGAUUAAACAAGAACAGUAGAAUUGGAAUCGAACAUACGAGAAACAAUCAAACACACAAAAUAAGAAAAUGAUUUCCAUUUAUUUUCUGAAAUGAAUUGGUGCAGCCCACCGCAAUGGACAAGACAAGUAAGAAAAUAAUUAAUACAUGAGGACUGACCAGCACAUCGGCAUGUACCUUCCGAUUUUAGACAUUAUUAUUAUUAUAUUGGUUCCGUUGAAUAUAGGGCGAUUAUAUUCUGAUCAAUUUUUGUAUAUAUUAUAUAUAUAAUCAACAACCAACAUACACAAUUUCAGUACAGCCUUAGAUUUUGUCAUGAAUGAAACGUAUGUAUAUUUUAUUAUAUGAUAAUCUUUAUUUCAAAUUUAACGUUUUGUUACGUCAAAAUGAUUCAGUCUGUGUCGAUUUAGAAUUAAAAAGUCUAUAACUUACUAAUAUUACCUAACAAUUACCAUGUUUCUAUUAAUUAAAUCAGAGCAGAUGUUUAUUUUUUUUUUUAUUACAUGAGACUAUUGCUCAGAUUACAACUCAUAUUACAUGAGAAUAUAACUGAUAUGUACAAAUCAGACUAUAACUGGGACCAACAUACAUCAAAUCUAAUGGAGCGCUGCCCAGAUUUUAACCCUCUCAAAUAUUCGAGGGAUGUCUACUCCUCGCACUGGAGCAAGGAAGCAGACUGCCUUUACUCAAUUUUAUUUGAGGAAGGAAACACCCCCACAUGCAUUGUGGGGGUUCGAACUGCUGCUCUCCAACUUGGAGAGCAGCAGCUCUCACCACUCGGCCAAAGGCCGA